RNAcentral lists this long non-coding RNA (76889 nucleotides) under Eucalyptus grandis. Its description in RNAcentral is "long non-coding RNA (EGRA_LNC004119)". Lineage: Eukaryota; Viridiplantae; Streptophyta; Magnoliopsida; Myrtales; Myrtaceae. The record is from RNAcentral.
CAGAUUGCUAGCCGCUGUUCAUCUUCUCUCUGACGACAAGUCUUCCCCCGAGCACAAUUUGUUUAAUAAGCUUUAACGUCUCAAACAAAACAAUUUUUGUGAAUGAAGCAUUUAAUUAGAGAAGCCAAUCAUUUCUGGGACGAAAAUUUGAAAAACAAAUGAAUGCUGGUGGAAGCUCAAUAAGAAGAACACAUAGGGAAUCAAAUGGAUGAAAAGAUUGGCAACCUAUUAUUUGAUCAAAAUUGUAUCAAGAAUAAUGCUAGAGGUACUAAGGCUAAAAUCGAUAGAAUUGAUCUACAAAGUGAUGUGUAAUAAGCAUGACCAUAGCCAUUAGACAUUCAGCCCACUAGUUAGAAGGCUUGACCAAUGAGCCGGUCUAAGAGGGUCUAACCCUACGCACCGAGCUAAAGAAGAAAAUUGUCUGUCUUGACCCCUUCAUUUGCACCUGUGGCUUGGCUGACCUCGGCAGACUAUGCCGUGAGGCCAAACACCUCCUCUAAAUUUAGAGAUAAUUAGGGCAAAAGAAAAGAUAAUUCAAUCAAACUCAAUUGGUCGUAUCUAUCAUGUUUAUGCUAUACAAUCUUCAUUUCGAUUUUUGAGUCCAGAUUAGCAUUUAAUUUAUAUCGUUGCUGGGAGAGUCAAACUAGCAAUUCCUGUAACUAAGAAUUGAAGGUAAAACAUUAGGUGCCUACUACAAACCAAGGAUCUUUAGCCUUUAGAAAUUCCUCAGCCGUGAGUCAUGUACUUUUAAGGCAAUUAAGUUCAAGUUUUUCUAGCUAAUAUUUAGGUAAGGUUCAUGCUUAUUUGGUUCAGUUUUAUUCAUUUUUCUAAGUUGAAAAGGUGAAAGACUAAUCCUUUUGUGGAACUUCCUCCUUCAAUGUCAAUGCUGGCUUUUAACAUUCAUCCUUGAUUAGUUCAGUGAGUGAUUAAUAGACUUUUAUCUGAACCUACUUGUGUAUUGAUCAUGAGAGAUCAAUGCCUAUUAGAAAAUUGAGGUUGGAUUCCAACAUGCGACGUCAGCAAAAUUGGUCGAGUGGUCAUCAGGAAGGGCUUCACUAUGUCUUAUUCAAAAUAUUUAUGACUUAAUAGCACUUUUUUAAAAUUUAAAACUUGAUAGGACUUUAAGCAAAACGUUUAAGACUUUUUUAUGCAAGUUCCUAAAAAAUAAGAAGAAAAGAACAAAUCAAUAUGUUCAUUCGCUUAAAUGAGAAGAGAGUUGAAGGAAAAAAAGGAAAUGGGAUGCUUCGUUUAGUUAUGAAAACUGAGAAGUGUGUGAUCCAGGCAGUUAUGCUGGCGUGGCAAAUUGUUAGAAAAUAAUGUCGUUACCUAUUUAUCCAUCCCUAGUAACUACCCCCUUUUGCAAAACUGUGAUUUUUAUUAGUGAGAAAGAAAGGAAAUUGGAAAUAGAAUCACUACCUUAACAGAAAUUUCAAUCAUCUCAACUUUUGACAGUGCCUCAGUAACUUCCAGAUCUCUGUACCACUUGCAGCAUCUACCCUUCCCUUCAUUAGUGUGAAAAUUUUAGAACUUGUGGUGCUUUGGGUGUCGGACAAUUUGAGAAGCAGAGGCAAGAGAGAAAAAAAAUGGAUAAGAAUGACAUUAAUUGGAUCUUACCAAUUUUAUGUGUUAUUUAUGUUGUUAACUUUUGUAUGGUUGUGUUGAGAUCACCCUCCCAGUCCCCUCGCCACUUGUAUCUAAACAGUGUCGCCCAAUGUAGUGUUGGUGUGCUUAGAGUACCCUCACUAAAGAUCUUCAUUUUUGGGCACUCUUCCACUUCUAUUGAAGACAUGGAUGGAAACUUGAAUAUGCAACUUGUGAUGGAAGAGAAGCAUAGGCUUGGCAGAUUUUGGAGUGUCAAUCUUCCUAGCUUCCCAAGAGAAAUCACUUUUCCUUCUCCUUUUCCAUCGUUUGCUACUACUUCUUUCAUUCUUUCAUAUCCUAUCAUAAUCUUGUCAAAGAGAUGCACCAAAUUUGUGAUCACUGAAAUUGUCAAUAGAUGCAUCAAUCUAGAGGAAUUUUCUUCACCACUAACUUUGUCAUAUUCUGGAAGGAUGUCAUGGAUGGAAAUAAUGUUGUCAAACUAGGACAAUCGGAAACCUCAAAUUUGCCAAUACGAUGAAGAAUUUUUGCCACCAGAUAGCCUUCUCUCCAGACAUGCUUUAGGUUGGGUAGUUGUCUUAACUUAAGUUCUUUCAAAUUUUCAAGCACCAGAUGUUUUCCCUCGUCAACAAGCCCCUCAUCAGGAAAUAUAUCUUCAAAAGAACUACAAAAUAUCUCAAGGCUUUGUAGGUUAUGAAAUCUUUGUAGGAGGAAUAUGGGAGAAAAUACAACAUUUUCAUCAUGAAAGCAUGCCAAUGUUAGUGUUUUUGGCUUGCCAAAGAAGUCGUCAGAAAAUUUUCCAUCGUGUAUCCUCUAAAUAUCCUUGUCGACUAAUAGAAGUCUCUCUAAGGUGGGAAUGCCCUACAAAAUUGCCAAUACAAUGAGAGAAAUAAAUUCAACAAAGUUCAACAAUAAAUCAUGGGCUCUUAGAGGUGAACUUAAAUCAAUUAAUUCCCAUGGAAAGGGUCUUUGUUCUUACAUUUCAUUAAUUUCUAGAGCCCUAGAUACGACUCUCAAGCUUCUAAAGUUGAGCUACAAAAUUCAAACUGCAAACAAAUGCUCCAUUGUGCCCAUCUGCCAACCAAGGCAAGCUAUGCACCCAUAUUAUAAUGAUUAUAUAGAAAGGGAAAGAAUUUUUUUGGCAUUUGAAUGAUCAAACAAAUAAAUAAAUAUUCAUUUUACCUAGAAAGAGGAAAUUCACAUUUUUUUUAUUUAAAUCAAGAAUUUUCAAGAGAAUUUCUAAGUAGAGGUCAGUAUGGUAAUCACCUUAACCAAAAUCAUCUUCUAUUAGGAAUAUCUUAUCUUGUCAUAAAAAAUAUGUAGUUCCUUGAAAUUUCAGGUGACAAGAUGUGCUUAUAAUGUUACUAAAAACAUUAUGGGUGUCCAAGGAUGAAAAGUGCGCUUAAAAACGUUAGAAAUAUCUUAUGUUGUCUAUGAACUGAUAUGUAAGGGGUUCAUGUUUACUAUAUUAUCAUAAUAUGACAUGACUAUGGUUUGCACAUGAGUUGUAUGGGUGAAUAAAAGAAUGAAGAAGAAAUAGCAAUUGCAAUCGUACCCUCUCAAGCGAGAAGUCUGCUUCAUGGUCUGAAAUGUCAUGUUGAUCAUCUCUUUGAGCCCACCUGUUCAUGGAUGCCACAAAGGACAUGUCUAAUUUGUCACAGUGGGUCACUCGCAAUUCCAUCAAGAGUGGCCAAUUCAAAGUAAGCAAGUUAGGGCAAAAGCUCUUGAGUUGUGACAUAUCAUGGAACACUAGAGAAGUCAAUUGCGGGAAAAGAAAUUGAGCAAUAGUAGAGUGGGAAGUGUCAUCUCCACUCGUGACUAUUUCCUUGAGCCCACAUGACUCCACUUGAAGUUCCAUAAGUUGGGUUAGACUUGUAGCCACCCAAUGUGGAAACAAAUUUUCAAGGCUCUUACAAUUAUCGAUCUUCACUUCUUGUAAAUGUUCAAAAGUAAGAGUAUCUUUAGGAUCGUCAGUCCAUAUUUUGCCUAAAUCAUCCACGUGGACAUGACCAUCAACUCAAGCUGAGGAAAUUGUACCUGCCAUAUUGAAAAAAAUGAUAAAUAAAUUUGAUUUCAUUGAGUGAUGACCUCGAAGAAAAAAUUUCAAAACUUCUAGUCCUCUCACAAAUCAUAGCAUUUUAGAACUUAUUAGUGACACAAUCAAGGAGGGGUUGCUUGAUGCUUUCAUUUCAAUUGACUGGUAACUAAGGUCGAGUAUAUUUCAUUGGAACAAGCCUGAAAUGCAAUGCGUCAAAAUAAAUUACUUGUGGUCCAUACCACCUGUUCAUACUCAUGUAUAAAGAUAGGAAAACAUUUUUCAUUGGGUUACCACCCAAAGAACACAAUGACGACCUCAAAUACCACAUGAAUACUUCUGCAAUUUCCUAAGAAUUUCACAUGCCAUGAAAUUUAAGGCAAGUUUCUUGCACAAACAAGGAUCCCUAAGCAAAUGCAAUUAGUCUUCAUGAACAAAUCAAACAUGUUAUGCCUAAAUAGAUUGUGAUACAAAAAAAUGAAACAAUUGUACAGACUGCUUGAAUUGUUCACUCAAUAGCUUGUAUGGAAUUUUCAUUUCAUAAUGAUAAAAAUAAUUAGAUUACGACAUGCUAUCAUCUCAAUUACCAAAUGCAUAUUUACACGGUUCUCUAAGUCCACAAACCACGGAAAAAGACAAGUUUGUCAUACAAAUAUCGAAUGGUCCACUAGGAUAUCCACCUUAGCCAAAUGGUCUCCAUGAGCACAUUAUGUUUCUUUGCAGAAAAUUAACGAUGUUGUGAGCUCUUAUGUCUUGUCCACUGAGAAGCGGGUAUUGACAUUUUUUAUUUGGUUUCAAUAAAAUUAACGCAAUUAUGACUUAUCACUACCAAAAAAAAGGGCUGACUAUUUCGAUACUUCCCUAAAUCUAUUAAUAUUCUAGAUUGAGCAUUAUGAUGAGUUUUUGAAAUAUUUUUAAAAAUGUGGGGAAUACCUUAUAUUUGACAAAUUGUAACUUGUCACUACCAAAAAAUCAGGCAACUAGUUUCAUACUUCUUUUUCCAUUAGUAUUCUAAAAUGAGUAUGAUGAUGGUCUUUUGAAGUUUGGACAUAUGACAUUAGAAGUAAAUGUAUAAUUAGUAGUAACUUUUAUCAUUAAAGAGUAAAAAAAGUUUCGAUACUAGUUAUGAUGAAAUGUUUUAUUCACACAUAACAAUAAAUAAAUAAAUAAUUUAAAAAAGUAUUAAAAUUAAAAAUAACUCAAGCAUUUCCUCCAUUAAAAGAGAAAGCAAUAGCUAAGGGGCCACGCUUUUUCCACUCAUCAUUUUGCUUACACACUCCAUAUUAAAGUGUUUUGACUGUAUCGUCCCUUAUGUGGCCCACCAUUAGGCAUUAUUCUCUUUCUUCUUUAAUUCUUUCUCUUUCUCUUUUUCUUUUCUUUUUCUUUCCUCAUGGAUCUCAAUUUUCUUCUUCUCAUCUUUCCCUUGCUAUUCCCUCUUGUUCCAUUUUUCGCUUCAAACAAGCCUUCUCAGUAUGUAUAGACUCUAGAAGGAGGAUUGAUCAAAAAGAGAUUAAGCCAAAAAUCCCAAAACUUUAAUUAAAAGACGAAGCACCGAGUAACGAAUGCGUAGAACUCGAGCUAGCAAUCGCAUUCAUAGAACCAAAAGAAAAAGGACCACAACACGACAUUUAUCAUUUGCUAGCUCCUAUAAACAGAUAACUGACAAAUCCCGUUGAAGCAGUUUGCAAACAAUGGGUUUAAUGACCACGAGGGAGAUCGGAGUCGCAGGACAUUGAUACAUGUCAUCGAACAAUACGAGGACAUCUACGAUUCGGUCACCAGUUGUCCCCUUACUAGAUCCUGGCAUAGGGACUCUACCCUCCUCCUCUCCAAGUGGCUUUCUAUCGAAGCUCACUUUCGCCCGUUCCCUCCCACCAGCAAGAAUGUCAUCGAGCUCGGUUGGGCUCAUAGCGGCUCGGCUCGGGGUCAGCCAUGUCAUCCUCACUUAUGCCACGCUAAUCCUCCCCGGUUGAGGAGGAACGUGGAAGUGAACGGAAAAGGGGAAUGAGUGGAGAUGAGGGGGAUGGUGUGGGGAUUGGAGGAGUUAGCAAGGGGAAUCAGGGAGAGUUGGACGUCAUGUUGAUGAGCACAUGUUCUUAGAUGCAGAGGAGGGGAUGGGGUUGGGAAGAUGCUGCCGGGUUGUGCAGAGAGAGUGUCCCUUUCUAUUUUAAAAUUGCUUAAAUGUAGCUGAUAAUGAAGUUGCGAAUGGUGAAGAGCAGACAAUAACGCCAACAAGUUCAGUUGACAUUUUCUGUCAUAUUCUACUCUUCCUUUUGAGCUUUUGUUAGGGACUCACAUGAAGCAUUUGAAUGUUUUUUGAGAAAAAAAAAAGGGAGAGAAUGAGACACCAAAGGCAUGUUUGAAGCAAAAAAAAAAAAAAAAGGGAAUAGAAAGAAACGGGAUUGUCGACAAAACACUAAAGGCAUGGAAAGAUAAGAAGGGGGAGGAAGGUGGGACCCGUGAAAAAAGAGAAGCAAAUAAUGCUAAAAGGUAGGCCAUAUAAGGGACAAUAUGGUCAAAAUAUUAUGAUAGAAAGUGUCUAAGCUAAAUAAGGAGUGGAAAAUCACAACCCUAAUUAAAACUUGUAAAGCAUUUGUAAUAUUAAGGAGUGACGGGAAAAAAAAAAAAAACUAACCUGAAUAGUUGGUAUGUGUUUGUUGCCUUUUUAAGAUAUGAUGGAAAUCAAAAUAAAUUUGGUAAAGAUAUUAGCUUGUGUUCACUUCAAUGAAAAUAAAUUUAAAAAUUGACUUCUAUUCUUCAAAAAAUUAGACGGUGGCGUGUACAUGUAUUUUCUUAUUAUUAUACUUUGAUGACAACCUCUCCUAAGUUCAAUUUAUAAUCAAUAUUAUAGUGAACACUGACUUUUAAUUGGCUUAUUUGACAUUAAACAAGCCUUUAUGACUUUACAAUAGGGAUUUUUGGAUUGCCAUUUUCUUUUAGAGACAAUAUUAGGCUGCUUGUGUGUUUUUUAUUCAAGUACACAUGACUAGGCAAGAAGAAGCAAGGAGAGAACAAAAAGAAAAUAAAUAAAAAUCAAAAAAUGAAAUACUAUUAAAAAUUAUCCACGUUAAUGUCGACCGGAGGGUCGGUAUCCAUGUUAGUGUUGGUUAGCCAAAUUUGGUAAUAUGGACUGAAUUAAUAUAAUUGUAAAAAAUUCACGAAUGAAUUGACAAAACAAAAAUGUUUAGAAUUAAAUUGACAAAAUUGCAAAAUAUUUUGACCUUUUUGAUCACUUUUUCCUGAUGAUAGAACACGAUUUAUUAAUUAUGGCAUGAGCUAUGGGACGGUGGGGUUUGGUAGGACGAGAUUGUCGUGCCAGAUCCAAUGGUGGACAUCAAUUUAUCUUUGAUCGCAGGGUUGAGAUGCUUUGUCAUCCAACGAUUGACAUCAAUUUGCAAUAAGUGAGCACACGACAUUCGGAAAAGCAUUACGCUACAUAUCUAAGGCAAAUAAAAUCAAUUCACCACUAGUCUUGUAUUCCAUCUACUACUUUAUGCUUUCAAUUGUUAGUUCAGUUAUCACGUCAUUUUUGUGUCAUUAGCUAUCACGUUAAGUUCGGUAAAGAAAAAGGACAAUUAAAAGCUGUUAUAUCACUCACAUAUAAUUUGUAAAAUUUUUGCAAUUAAGCCAUGUACAAGGACAAAUUAAUUCAAAUUCUGUAGAUCAAAUUAGAUCUUAACGUUUUUAGGUUGUGUAAUAAAAUCAUAAAAUUUAUUUAAAAUAUUAUCAAGUACUUCACAUUAUCUCCUCUAAUUUAAGCGACAAAGUCCAAUGUAGUCUUUUCAAAUAUAUAUAUUUUAUGACAGCUGAAAUUGAUGGUGCACCUAACUAUUUAUUUAUUUUUAAAUGUAAGAUCUUAAAGCUCUCAUUUUGUGGUCUUUCCUCUAGCUCCCAUGGGAUAGUGGCACACUAAUCAGCACGAGGACGUAGGACCAAAAGAAAAUUGAAUCCUUAAGGCGAACUAAAUUAUAGCUGAUUAGUGUUAAAAGCAAUCCUUAUCUAUUGGUUGCCAAUAUGGAGGGCUGAUCAUUAACAGAGACUUUAGCAUAUUUCUUGAAGUAAUUUCUCCACCACCACUUCGCCUCCCUCCACCUCGGCACCCGGCAACCGCGCAAGCCUUCCACACGCCCCCUCACCAUCGCCGCCUUGAAGAACCCGCCCCUCCCCGGUCACAAGCUCCACGCUGCCGUCAUUGGCGGCGGGCCGGCCGGGUCCUCCGCUGUCGAGUCCCUCGCCUCGGGCGGCGUUGAGACCUUCCUAUUCAAGCGCAGCCCCUCCUCCGCCAAGCCCUGCGGCGGCACCAUCCCGCUCUGCAUGCUGGACGAGUUCAACCUCCCGCCCAGCCUUGUCGACCACCGCGUCACCGAGAUGAGGGUCAUCUCGCCAUCGAACAUCACUGUCGACUUCGGCAAGACCUUGAGGCCCCACGAGUUCAUCGCCAUGCUCCGCCGCGAGGUCCUCGACUCCUUCCUCUGCUCGCGCGCGGAGUCCAGCGGCACGGAGCUCAUCACCGGCCUGGUGACGUAUCUGGAGCUCCCUCGCUCCUCCACUACACGAGCGGUGGCUCGAAGCGGAGCCUACCAGUGGACGUCGUGGUCGGGGCAAGUAAAGUGGAUUCUGAUUGGUGGAGGCGAACUAAAUGAUCAGCCCUCCAUAUUUACUAGAUUGGAAACAACCUUGUUGCAGAGUUUCUUUAAACUCCCUAAUCUAAGAUUAGUCGACGUUAGGCCCCACAAAACACAAAAUGCACCAGCAAUCUAACUUUUUGUGCUGUGAUUCUACGGAUCUAUGUGUACUUUUUUUAAAAAAAAAUAGAAACUUCAAAUGACUUGUGCAAUUUCUACACAGUUUGUUUUCUGAAAUAUAAAUGAUCUAAAAAGGGCAUUUCUUAAAAAUGAUCCUUUAUAUCAAUUGCAUAAACGAAUGAACAUGUGUCAAAUUGUGAAUGAUUGAAAGUAAAAAAAAUAUACAUAUAAUAUCAGUUGUUUACAUGACAGUCUUUAGCCACUGAAUAUGUCCUCUGUACUCUUAUACACUUAUCUUUAUCUCGAAGUACAGCUCAAAAGGGAAAGAAAAUUCCACAAAGUGGAUAUUUGCGUGUCAGCUCAUGCCCAUGCAUCUUUCACACAAUUAGGCUCAAGUUGCAACUUGCAAUCAAUGCAGAACAUCGAGACAAAGUACCCCAAAACUGUCUAUAAAUAUAAGAGUCCCGUACCAAUUCAAAUGCAAGCCAACUAAAGCAACGCCACACACACGUAUAAGAGAGAGAGAGAGAGAGAGAGAGAGAGAGAGAGAGAGAGAGAGAGAGAUGGAACUCACGGGUGAGAUGGAAGUCAUGCAAGUACUGCACAUGAAUGGAGGAAUGGGAGAAACAAGUUAUGCUAACAACUCAUUGCUUCAGGUACAUCUCUCAUUGCCCCUCGUGGGCUCUCAAAAUCUUGGAUUAAUCUGCAUUUAAUGUUUGAUUAUUUCAAUCUUAUGUGCACCAUAACAUGAUUUCUUCAUUUUAUAGCAAACUAGGAUUUUUUUUUGUUUUACCAAGAUUUGAAAUUCUAUAUGCAUAAAGAAGCCAAUUUACCAUGCCCUUUGAGAUUAUGUUACUUAUUAUUCAAUAAUUGAAAUUAUGACCCUAAUUCGUAGAUACACUUUUCAAUCAACAAGAUUUCUCUUGAAAAAGAAUGUACACUAGAGGUUAUAUGAAAGUACUAGAUCUCGCAAAAUCAUUGCAAUAUAGGACAAACCCUUUCCGAUGAUGUUCUAAUUUGAAUUUACAAAGAAAUUGCAUGGAAUCUGCAAUAUUAUUUCAUUUUAUUUGGACUGCCGGCGGAUAUAUCGCUGGAUAUAUUGGCUAGUUUUGGGAUUUAUUACUUUAUAUAUGAAAAAUUAAAGACUUUAUAUACGAAAAAUUAAAGACACGAAUUUUUUUUUCUUUAUAUUGAGUGAAUGCGCUCCUUUUCUUUUUGUAGAGAAAAGUGAUAUCGAUGACGAAACCCAUAAUGGAGGCAGCCAUCACAGCUCUCUUCUCCACUGUUGCUGCCACCAUACCGACGAGCCUUGCCAUUGCGGACUUGGGUUGUUCCACCGGUCCCAAUGCUCUUUUCGCUGUGUCCGAGAUCAUCAACAUCGUGAUUGAUCUCUGCAAGGCAAUGAAGCACGAGCUGCCGGAGUUCCAAGUGUUCUUGAACGAUCUCCCAGGGAACGACUUCAACACCCUCUUCAGCAGCUUCUUGCCAAGAUUCCAAGGGAAGCUGAGCGAGCAAUUGAAGAGCAAGUAUGGAGUGUCAGCAACGUUGCCGUGCUUUGUCAAUGGCGUUCCUGGUUCAUUCUAUGGAAGAUUGUUCGCUCGAGAGAGCCUGCACUUGAUUCAUUCUUCGUAUAGCCUCAUGUGGCUAUCUCAGGUAAUUUUUUGUCUCAGUUUGUAAACCUAAUGGGAAAUAUAUGUCGAGAAACACUAUUUUUAUCAUUGUUAUUAUUGUUGUUUUCUGGAAACUUUUGUCUAACCCUUUUUUAAGGGUAGAGUCAAGCAAAUAAUAGUCGAGACACCCGAAAGGUCUAUUUUGGGGUUCUAGGAAAUUUAUACUCUUUUAUGAAGAAACGAGGGGUGUGCUUGGAAAUCAAACUCACUCACUUUUUUUCUCCCUCCCUUCCUCCCUCCCUCCUCAGGUCCCACAAGGACUAGAGGGAAACAAAGGCAACAUAUACAUGGCGAGAUCGAGCCCUCCAAAGGUGCUUAGGGCAUACUACGAGCAAUUUCAGAGGGACUUCUCGACGUUCUUGGAAUGUCGUGGGCAAGAGUUACUGGUGGGAGGAUGUAUGGUGUUGACCCUCUUGGGUCGAAGAAGUGACGAUCCUUCAAGUAAAGAGUGUUGUUACAUUUGGGAGCUCUUAGCUAUUGCUCUCAGUCAGAUGGUCUCAGAGGUAACAAAUUAAAAAUCAAAAUAGCACUUGAAUCGUCAUGGACACAUUAAGUUAAAUUGGAGGUUAGUUUUGUUAGCUCUCUGUGAAUAAUUUAUAUCACAUAAAAAAUUGUCACAUCCUACCACGCCGGUGAAAUUUGCCAGUCCCUUGGGAAUAAUUUUUGUUUCUGCACUCUGUAAAAUCAAACAUAAUCCCUGAUUAUGUUAGAUAACAUCAAGAAUUUUCUUGCAAACCUAUAGUUAAGAUUUGCACACGAAUUCUCUGAUCGAAAGCAAAAUUCCAAUCUGAAAAUCUUACAAGAAUAAUCCCAUUUCUCUUGCUUAGGAAUGUAUUCGAGAAAAUCAAGGGAAAAUUGCAAAAAAAUGUUCCAAACUUAUUACACUUGUGCCAUUUAAGUUCUAUACUUUUCAAUUUAGUCAAUUUAAUCCUAAACAUUUUAAUUGUGUCAAUUUAGUCAUAAACCUUUUGCAUAUAUACAAUUUAGUCCUAAUUUUUUAAAAUGAUUUGCCAAUUUAAUCCUUCCGGCUAAUUAUGACUAUAAAUCGUUGACGUAGCGAUCUAUCAAACACCAACUAUGCUAAAUAACACAGCUAGCCUUAAAGUGAACACUUUUUAUAAUUUUUUUUUAUAAUUUUAUAAUUUUUUAUAAUUUUAUAAUUUUUUUUUAUAAUUUUAUAAUUUGUUUUCCUUUUUCACUCCAUUGGUCAUUGCUAGUCUUCAAGGAUGGCUAAUGGAGGUUGCCAGCCCUAGGUGACGAUUACCCUAGCAAGGUUUCUCCCUCAAGCAAGGGUCCCCAUCAUUGACCCUUGGCAAGCGCAACCCUUACCUAGGCAAGGGUUGCCCUCAUUCAGGCCUGUGGAGGGAAAAAGGGGGAAAAGUAAAAGAAAAGGAAAGGAAAAAAGAAGAAGAAGAAGAAAAAACUUAAGAAAAUUAAUAAAAUCGUUGACAUUAAGAUAGCUAGUGCUGAUUAGAUCGCCACGUUAGCGAUUUCCGCCCAAAAUAGCUAGAAUAACUAAAUUGAUAAAUUAUCAAAAAGAUUUAGGAUUAAACUAGCAGAUUGAAAAAUUUAUUACUAAAUUAGCUAAUCAUUAAAAAGCUUAUGUUUAAGUUGGCAAAAUUAAAAGAUUUAGGACUAAAUUGGAAUAAGUAUAAUGGGUUUUGGACUUUUUUGCUAAUUUCCCCAAAAAAUCAGAGAAUGAGAGAUAAAAUUAUGAGGUGCUUCGAGCGCACUCUUAUUCCCUCUUAGGCUAGUGUAGACUUUAUUAAAAUGGAAUCAACAUUUACAUGAAAAGAAACUUCAUAUAUUAUCACUGUGCAAUAAUAACAUAGACAAGUAACUGUGAAUUUUGUUAUGAUAUUACGGUAACAGCUAAUGUUUUUGCAGUUGUCACUUCUUUGGUUGGAAAAUCUAAAAUUCUACAUUUGCACUAAUCCAGGGACUUGUAGAAGAACAGCAACUAGACUCCUUCAACAUCCCUCAGUACACACCCUCACCAAAAGAAGUACAAGGGAUGGUCCAAAAGGAAGGGUCAUUCUCAAUUGAUUGCUUGGAAGCAUCCGAAGUGAAUUGGAGUAUACUUGCCACCAAUUCUGACUCUAAUAUUGUCUUGAAGGAUGGGGGACACAAUUUGGCCCAAUGCAUGAGAGCUGUGGCCGAGCCCUUGCUCAUUUAUCACUUUGGUAAAGAGAUUAUUGAUGAGGUCUUUAAGAGGUAUGAGGCUCUACUUGCUGAUCGCAUGUCCAAGGAGAAGAAUGCAUUCGUCAAUGUCGUCAUUUCGCUAAAGAAAAUCACCUAGAUGAAUUGCCAAGAAAUUACGAAUAAUUACUUUGCAGAUAUAUGUACUAUAUGGUGAAGUUGGAAUACCAAUGUCACAGGUGCGUUCAUAAUUGUUCGAAGAAGGCGUGCCUGUCUUACUUGUAUUACUUCUUAUGUCUUAUCUUGAGUAAAGAACAAGAGACUUGCAAGUUGAAGGGCUUGACAUUUGGGAUUUAAUUUAAGGAUUUUUCUUUCCCCCAAUUUUCCAUAUCUCUUGAGAUGUUGCAUCUAAUUUAGAGACUCUUCAUAUUUUCUCGGUUGGCUCUAUAGUUUUUAUCUUCACACAAUCUCAUUGAUCCGCACGAUGAAUGGAUCGAUCCCCUCACCAUGCGAAUCGAUCGUGGUCGAGGGCCUUGGUCAUGUGGAUCGAUCAUGGAUCGUUCCCGGUUGGCCGAGAUUGAACAUGAGCGAGGGCCUUGGACGAGUGGAUUGAUCCAUGCAUCGUCCGAAUCGACCAUGGUCGAUGGCCAUAGUCGUGUGGAUUGAUCGUGGAUCGAUCUCGGCUGGUCGAGAUCGAUUGUGGUCAAGGGCCUAGGACGUGUGGAUCAAUCUAUGCACUGUGCGGAUCGACCGUGGAUUGAUCCAUGCACCGUCCAGAUCGAUCCCGAUCAACCCAUGCACCAUGUGGAUUGACCAUGCAUCGAUCCUUGCAUUGCGCAAACUGAUCGUGGAUCGAUCCUGAUCGAGGGCCUCAGCCGUGUGGAUCGACCUCAUGCACAAUGCGGAUCGAUCCGGGGCCGAGCGAGCGGGAUCGAUCGUGGUCAAGGGCCUCAACUAUGUGGAUCGAUCCAUGCACUAUGCGGAUUGAUCCCGGUCAAGUGGGAUCGGUCCCUGCACCAUGUGGAUCGAUUAUGGUCGAGGGCCUCAGCCAAGUGGAUCGGUCCAUGCAUGGUGCAAAUCGAUUGUGGAUCGAUCCAUGCACUAUGUAGAUUGAUCACAAAUCGAUCUCGGUCGAGCAAGAUCGGUCCCUACACCAUACGGAUUGAUCCACGAUCGAUCCAUACUCCUGAUCGGGCAAGAUCGGUCCCUGCACCUUGUGGAUCGAUCCAUGCACCAUGCAUAUUGAUGUCUAGAGACCAUUGCAUAUUUCAAGAUAACAGAGUUGGGCUAGUUGCACACUAUCCAGCACUGAUAAUCACCUAAACAAAGUCGGAAGUUCGCCUCCAGGUUUUGCUAUAGCAGCCCAAUCCUUAAGGCGAGCUAAAUGAUCAGCCCUCCAUAUUUUUCCUUACGCGAACUUCCGACUUUGUUUAGGUGAUCUCAUUUUUGGAAAUGAUAUCAAAUUACCCUUCUCAUUUGAUGAUCUUGUUUUUGUUUCGUUUAUUUUUUUAUGUUCCACAACAUUAAUAAUUGUCGAAAUAUCCCACAUUACUUAACAAUAGAUCUUAUAUGCUCUUUAUACAUAUGAGAUUUUUCUGCACCUUAUAAUUUAAGUGUUUGAAGUAAAUUUUCUAAAAUAAUAUAUGUCAAAUUCCAGCCAAAGUAUGACUAAAAAAAAAAGUCUAGCCAAAGAAAAUAUACAGUAAAAAAAAACAAACAAACAAAAGUGUUGGAUGGAAAAGAUGCCAUUCAGAACCUGUGACCCCUGACGACCCGGUUGACCCAAGCCCCUUUGGCAGGACUCCAUACAUCAUGCUGGCAUCACCCUUACGUUAUAAGUCCUUCUAUAUCUUUUUUCAAUCGACAAAAGGGGAAAAAUGAAUCAAGUGACCAUAAAAAUGACAAAAUUUGGGGCACAGCACGAGCGAAAAUGAAUCAAGUUACUCGCAAGUUAUUAAUUGAAUCCCUAUUGUUUUUUUUUUCUUGACAUAUUUAAUAGACAUAAAUUGAUCCAAAAAUUGUUAAGAGUUCAUAUAAUACUCGACCUUAAUUGAUAUGAGUAGAUUACGAUAGAGUUGAGUCAAGUUAUUCUCUAAUGUCUUGGCACUUCAAUUGAGCCAAGCUUAUACAUAGAAAUUAAUAUCCAAUUGAGCUUGAGUCAGCGAGGAGGGGUAGUAGGAGUGGGGACCACACGACAGGGGACAGCCGGCGACCCACGAGGUUGUCCGGUUACUGCCAAAACUCUACUUUCUCUCUCCUUGCGGUAGGUUCCAAGAUUCCACGGCAAGGCCCAUUUGCUCCUGCUGACUUCCAAAGCUGCCGACUGAUGAAUUGAUGGUACAUCGCCAAUGCCCAUCUUAUCCAAAUUGGGAAAAAUAAAAAUUCAUCUUAUAGUAAAAUUGACAUACCAUUCGAGGGAGCUGAGUUUCUAAACAACAAGAAUACUAAGCUUGGUACAAAAGCAGGCAAUUAAAGUGCUUGAGGACUUUACAAACCUCCAUAUCGAGCCUGGGAUAGGUAAAAGAAAAAAUUAUCUCUUCAAUGCACCUGCGCAAGGACCCUUGCAUGUGCUGCACAGAAGAGCCAGUAUCUGUCAGAGAGCUUGCAUAAAGGGGUCUAGUUUCCUGAAGCAUACAACGCUUUUAUCUAGCUUGAUCAUGAAAAUGCAACUUGUUAACCCAAUAGGGAUAGUUUGCCUCAGUAGUAAUUCCAGAAAAAGAAAAACAGGGAAUUAAACCUUAUGAGAUCAUGUUAGAUGCCGUGACACAGCCAGAUUUUCUAGAAUUUGAAUGGAGUCAGUAGUUCCAUUCGAGGAAUCAGAAGCUGGAUGGAGUCUAGAGACAAUAGCGACAGCAUAACAAACAUCUCAAGUUUCUCUUGAUAGAAAGAAAGACAAUUGAAAUUUAAUUGUUUAUCAGCAUGCACAUGCAUGCUCACUUCAUGCGUUCACAGACUCACAUGCGAAGUUAUGCAAAUGAACAAAAUGACCCAGCAAACCCCCUCAAAUUUUUAUACAUUCAUCAGGAAUCAUUUCCAGGAUUUUCUCAUAUUUCUCCUCAGUCGAUAGUAUAUUUUGGUUCAAAAGCACUUUUCCCUCAAAGAAAUCCCUCAAAACAUCUGUAUAUGAUCUCCUGCAAAGGUGAAACUUGCUUAGAAAUUGAUCUAGGGGUAGAAAAGAGAAGGAUAACGGGAAGAGGAUCUACUUUAAAGGAAGAGAAAGACAAACAAUGAAUUAGGGGGCUUCACAGUGGUAAAUGUAAAUACCACAUCAGAAUUUUGAUUUUGGCUAUCAUCAAGUAGGCAGAUAUAGUAGUCUCCCGCUUCUAGAAUGAGCGAGGGUGGGUAAAAGGCCCGCUAAAGAACUAGCACGUCUUAUGGCAUUGUACUCAAAUCACAGGCUAACUCUGUACCUCCAAUUGGGUACAGUGCUGCUAUUUUCAUCAAAGUAUAGGCUGUUGGUGUUUUAUUAUUGCUGGAAAAUUGCACAAUCAUUCUAAUUGAACUAAUUUAAUCUUAAUUCUUUGAGGAAAAUUGUAAUCAAGUCCUUUUGGCGAUAAUGUGAUGUGGACGAAGGUUACAAUGAAACGACGCUUUUUUUGUUGAAAUUACUAGCGUCUUUGCUUAGUCGGGCAGCUAAGCUGAAGCCCCAAAUCACUAAAUCUCUAGCUCUAACACUUGACUUAGACAAAAAUGUUGACGGUAUGCAAAGUCUCGGGGUCCAAAGUCAAGAAUCCAUGACUGAAUCUACCAAAUAGCAACGAAUAGAAGCAAAGCCACAACACCCACACUAGCAAGCAGCUCGGCCCUUCCGAAACAAAAAACUAGCACAGAAGCACACAAAAACGAACUAACCACGAGAGAGGCACACAUCAAAACGGAAGCAAUUUCAUUUCAACAGCAGAAAUGAAAAUUGCCGACAGACCCCAUUUUGGCCCAAACUAUAAAUCAACUUGGUUUACCAUCGAUCACUGGUUUAUUUCCGCAUUGUAGCAAAAGUAUCUCGGAUGGGAUGCUCCACACGCCAAAGGUCAAUCAGGGAUGGAGAGAGUGGGGACCCUCCAUUAAAUAAUGUCUUGUCAAAUUACUGCAUCGAGCAGUCUGAGCAACGUGCAUUGCUAUUUUCCGGUGCCAGAGCUCAAUCAGAAGAGAAUACAUGUGGAGCCCUUUUUUUAACGAAUCAUCAUACAUAAAUCAUAAUAUUUCUAUAAAUGGAAAAAUCAUGAGAUCAUAAAACACACUCUGAUACCAACUGUUAGAAUAUACAUAUAAUACUUUGAUGCGGAAAAUCAAAGUAAAAACAACGAUCUUUGAUCUUCAUGAUUUUCACAAAUAGAUGAAGACGUACCUUUAUCCAUAGUGUUACUGUAAAACUCGAACCAAAUGAAGAAAUCCGAUUUCUCUCCCUUAACCCACUAUUCCUUAAUGUAUUUUGUCGAUGGAGGAGAGAAUACCCAAUUCCUUUUUUUUUUUGGGUUUUUGUUGUUCAUAUGGGUGGAGAGAGGACCGGACUCUAUUUAUACGUUCAUUGAAAAUGUGUCUUCCAUCAAAGCGAUAUACCAUUUCAUUUUAUUAGAGUCGCAACUUCUCGUAACCAAUAAUUAUUUAUUUUAUAGCAUUUCAAUAAUUAUUAAACCAUAUAAUAAAUCAUAUCAUGUGGGUCACAAUAAUUCUUACAUCUUGAGGAUGACAUGGAAAAGGAAAGCACAGGAUAAGAGCCCUGAACGUAACUUGUCAAACCAUUUCCUACUUAAGAAGGCCUGUAAGUUUCCUAUUGCCGCAUGAAAACUUCAUUCAUGUGAUAAAUUAUACAUUGUUUGACAUUCUUCUUCUAAUGCCAUAAUCAAUUGGAAACUUCUAUCUCUAUUGACUUUAAAUUUUAGAAUACCAUAAAAUUAUAAAUUAAGAAUUAAGAAAACACUCAAUAAAAUGUAAAUUGGCUGUAAUGUGUGUGUGAAUAAUUUUUAUUAAUGUUCUAUCUAUUGACAUAUUAAACUUGGUCUAACUUGGGCUCCUAUAUCUAAUUAAUGAAUAUGAUAGAGCAAUUAAAUAACAAAAAUAUAACAGAAAAAACAGUGAUGGCCAGUUCUCAUGUCAACCAUAGAAUUAGCUUAUGUGAUUGUAAGCUAUUAUAAGGUCAACGGCUUCAAUUAAUGAUUUUAAAAAUAGGGAAUUGAUUUUCAUUUAGUAGGUUUCACGUUUUUGUUUUGAAACAUCUAAUUAGAAGAUGCGGAUCGACAUAUAAGUGAAAUAAAUAUAGCAAUUUUCUUUGACAGCUACUAUUUUGCAAAGUAAAAAAUUCAAUUAUAUUUUCACUGACAGCUUUAAUCUCUUGUAUCAUUUUUUUAGAGUCAAAGUUUGGUACUGGUCAGUGAAGAUGGACACAAUGAUUAGUAGCACAACCUGGGCACACACCAAAACAGAAGCAAAUUUCAUUUCAACUGCGAAAAUGAAAAUUGCCGAAGGACCCUCAUUUUUGCCCAACUAUAAAUCAGCUUGGUUUAUCAUAAAUCAUUGAUUUAUUCCCACAUUGUAGCAAAAAUAUCGUGGGCGGAAUGCUCCUUAUGCUAAAGGUCAAUCAGAGACAGAGAGAGUGGGACAUGUUGAAAAAUAGAUCACUAUCAUUCUCAAUAUAUAUUUUUUUCUUUACAAGGCUAUAUAUAUAUACACACACACAUACAAGUAAUACUAGGGUAACAAUCGCCUAUUAGGUAAACUAUUCGCUUUCUAUAUGCAUUACCCCCACAAAUCAACUCGCGCAAAUAUAAAUAUUUUCUUCCUAUACAUAUCACUCCUACAAAUCAGCUCAUGCCAACACUCCCCCUCAAGUUGGUGCAUAAAUGUCGCUAAUGCUCAACUUGUCAAGUGCGCUGCAGAAGGCUCUGCUCGAGACUGCCUUCGUCAAUAUAUCUACUAGCUAAUCUUCAGACCUCACAAACAGGAAUUGAACUAUCUUUGCAUCCAAAUUAUGCUUAAUAAAAUGACGAUCAAUCUCAAUGUGUUUGGUCCAAUCAUGCUGCAUAGGAUUAUGUGAUAUGUCAAUAGCUUCCUUGUUAUCACAAAAGAGCUUCAUCUCGGAUCUAGGAGGAAAUCCCAAUUCGAACAUCAGCUUUUUAAGCCACAAAAGCUCACAUAGCCCUUUGGCCAUCCCUCUGAACUCUGCCUCUGCACUUGACAAAGCCACCACUUUCUGUUUCUUACUUCUCCAGUGACAAUAUUUCCCCCCACAAAUGUAAAAUACCCUGAAGUUGACCUCCUGUCGUACACACUCCCCACCCAGCCUGCGUCCGUGUAACCUUCAAUUCCAAGAUGACCAUUCCUCAUGAAUUUUAACCCUCUCCUUGGAGAUGCUUUCAAAUACCGAAUUAUUAUCAUCACAGCAUUCAUAUGGUCUUCACUAGGAGCAUGCAUGAAUUGACUUACGAUACUUACUACAUAUGCAAUGUCUGGACAGGUAUGCGAUAGGUAGAUUAACUUCCCCGCUAACUUUUGGUAUCUCUCCUUGUUUGUUGGUACUUGAUUAGGAUACUCUCCAAGUUUAUGAUUCUCCACGAUUGGGGUAUGCGCUGGCUUACAAUCUAGCAUCCCUACUUCUGCCAACAAAUCUAGUACAUACUUCCUUUGAGGUAGGAAUAUUCCCCCUUUUGAUCUUGAUACCUCUAUUCCCAAAAAAAUACCUUAGUUCUCCCAAGUUUUUCAUCUCGAACUCUUCAGAAAGCCUCCUUUGGAGUAAGGUGAUUUCUUUCAAGUUAUCCUCUGUAAUGAUUAUAUCGUCAACAUAGAUAAUCAAUGCAAUUAUCUUCCCUUCUUGUCGUCGAAGAAACAAGGUGUGAUCCGACUCACUUUAUCUGUACCCAUAUUUCUUCAUUACCACACUGAACCGACCAAACCAAGCCCUUGGUGAUUGCUCCAAACCAUACAAGGACCUUUUCAAUUUGCAGACCACACCUAAAUGUGAGGAAGACUUGUACCCCGGUGGUACAUCCAUAUAAAUCUCCUCAUCCAAGUCACAAUGGAGGAAUGCGUUCUUCACAUCAAACUGAUAUAGUGGCCAGUCUUAAUUAACUACAAGAGACACCAAAACUCAAAUAGUAUUAAGUUUUGCAACGGGAGAGAAAAUCUCUUGGUAGUCAAUUCCAUACAUCUGCGUGUACCCCUUUGCUACCAAUCUUGCCUUGUAUCUUUCGAUGGACCCAUCUGCCUUAUAUUUGACAGAAAACACCCAUUUGCAUCCCAUUGUUUUCUUUCCCUUAGGCAAGUCCAUCAACUCCCACGUUCUAUUUUUUUGCAAUGCCUUCAUCUCUUCUUCUAUAGCCUGAACCCACCGAGGAUCCUCCAAAGCUUCCUGUACUCCAUUCGGAAUUUGAACCGAAGAUACAGCCAACACGAACCGCUUCAAUGGUUUAGAUAACCUUCCUGUUGAGACAUAAUUUGUGAUGGAAUAUUUCAAUCUCCUUUCUCCAACAUCUGGUGAGUAUCGAUUUGGGAGUUUACCCUGAUUAUGCCUAACGGGUAAUUUAUAUUCCACUGACAUAUUAGAUUCAUCAAACAAACCAGAAGCAGUAGAGGAGAUUACCUUAGGAAAAUCCUCACGAACUUGGUCGAGUAUUGGAGGAGAAGGGGGUUGUUCAACUUGUUCACAUAUGGGUAUUUCACCCUUUGUCGGAUCCUACGAGGCUUCUGUAGCUACACCUGUUGCAAAUUCACCAGCACUAGCACCAUCUGUCACCUGCUCAACAAUUCCACCAUUAACACUAGUCGUGCCAGCACCACCCACGGUUGCUCCAACAUCAAUCAAAGCCUGCCUAGCCCCAUUAUCACCAGUGUUGGAGCUAUCAUCGACACUACCACCACCCCCAACAACCAUGUCUCUUCCUUUGAGUAUAACCCCAUCAAUAAUCUCCCACCAAUUCUCCCUUUCUAGCCAAUUCUCCCCCUGAAAGGUAGAAUUGGUACUCGGGUAAAAGAACUCUCCUUUGACAAAUGUGACAUCCAUAGUCACAUAAGUUUUUUUAGUAGAUGGGUUGUAGCAUCGAUAGCCCUUUUAAUGAGUACCAUACCCCAAGAACACACACCAUAAAUCACGUGGAUCAAGUUUGGUAUGUUGGUUCUUCGGAAUGUGAACAAACGCAACACAUCCAAACACACGAGGAGGAAUUGUCAAGACUGAUGGCAAUGGGAUAAAUGCAGAGAGUGCUUGUAGAGGCGUAUGGAAAUCUAGCAUUUUUUAGGGCAUUUGGUUGAGGAGAUGCACCGCCGUGGCAAUAGCAUUAUCCCAAAAACGUGAAGGAACAUGUCCCUCAAUUAAGAGGGUUCAAGCGGUCUCGAGAAUAUGGUGAUUCUUCCUUUCGGCCACUCCAUUUUGUUGUGGAGUUUGUGUACACAAGGUCUCAUGAAUGAGACCAUGUUGCUGAAAGUACUCCUUGAGAUGUCGAUUCACAUGCUCUCCACCAUUAUCACUUCGAAGAACUUGUAGCUUAGCAUCAAACUGUGUUUGAACCAUCUUGUGAAAUACUUUAAACACAUUAACCAUUUCAUCCUUAGUUUUCAUCAAGUAAAGCCAAGUCAUACGAGUGCAAUCAUCAACGAAUAUAACAAACCACCGACAACUCGAGAUAGCAGUAAUAGGAGAAGCGCCCCACACAUCAGAGUGAACUAAUGAAAAAGGCAAGUUAUUCUUACUCAAACUUAUGGGAAAGGAAACACAGUGGCUCUUAGCCAAAAUGCAAGUCUGACAACGGAAAUCCAACUCUUUUAGAUCCAAAAAUAAUUCAAGAAAUAGCUUUUUCAUAUAGCCAUAUAAAGGAUGUCCCAAUCAUCGAUGCCAAAAUCUCCAAUGAUCUCCUUCGUGAGGAUAUCCUGGAAAAGACAAAAUUGAGGAUACAUUAGAACAAUACAAUUCAAAUCUUCAGUGAGCUGACCAACAAAAAUUAAUUUCGUGGUCAAUGACGGGACAAGUAAGGUGUUAGGCAAUGACAACUGAGGGGAAACCGCAAGCACACCAACCCUUGUCACUGGGUAUGUAUUCCCAUUUACAUUUGAGAUACUGCAUCGUUUUGGUUCUGUAAUGCUCACAAAAUCAUCUGGGCUAAAAGGUCAUGCUCCGUAGCCCCCGAAUCGAUAACCCAUCCAUCACAACUACUGUGAUUAGGGAGAACCAGCGCACAACCACAAUUACCUUGGAUAUUACCUGAAUUGGACGUAGCCGAUUGGUCUUGAAUUUCAACUUUGGGCACCAAAGGCAGCUGAGGUUCCAUCUUAGCAAAAAAAAAAAAAAAAAAACCUUCCCUUUUCCACUGUUAGUACCCCCGUCGGCUUGUUUUCGCGCCUUCAAUUCCUUCCAUCACUCUGGAUAGCCAUGGAGCUUAAAGCAUGUCUCUUGAGUAUGCUUAACAUUCCCACAGUGUGAGCAUCCUCCAGAUGAAAUUGUAGUUCGUGAACCGUUAUUUGUCCGCCCACCCCCUUGUGUAGCUCCUGAUUUAUUCAUUUGUAGAGUUGGCAUUACUAGUGAUUCUCGGACACUUGUCUUUGCUUCCCCGUGCCACCAUGGCAGCAAACCGAAACAUGGAAUCAGUAUGGGUGAGCAUCACUGAGUGUUUCGUAUCCUCCCUACGAACCCGUGCAUAUGCUUGCUCGACAGUUGGGAAUGGUUGCAUUUGGAGAACAUCCGCUCUCACUUUGUCUAGAUGAUCGUCCAACCCAUCAAGGAAGACAUACACCCGGUCUUCCUGAAUGGCAAGAUUGUACCGCUCAAUAUCAGCUGGGCAUGUCAUUGGGUUUGGACAACAGAAGUCGCUCUCCCUCCACAAACCCUAAAGAUUAUUGUAAUAAGCCUCAAUUGUCUCUCCAUGUUGUCUCAUCCAAGUCACCCGCCUCUUCAAGUCAUAAACUUGGGAGGCAUCAUUUCCAUCAAAGAAAGUUGUUGCAAUAGAGUCCCAUACCAUCUUCGCAUUUGGGAAACAAAUAAAAUUUCCUAUUAAUGCAGGAUCCAUUGAGUUGAUUAGCCACCCCUUCACAAUCGCAUCCUCAGUCUUCCACUUUCGAAAUUGAGGAUCGAUAGGUGAGGGCUGAGGGAGAUCACCAUUAAUAUAACCCAACUUGUCUUUACCAGAGAUGUACAUCUCCACCACUUGAGACCACAAUCCAUAAUUUGAUCCAUCUAAUUUGACUGAGAUUUGUGCAGUGGAUGGCUCCUGGGAUUGUGUUGAAACCUUAGUCGAACUCUGAGUCAUAAUCUGUGUUAGCUUCAUCGUAAGAUUCUCUAGAAGAGAAGUAGUUAUUGAGUUCUCCCCUUGGUCUUGAUGAGGUACCUCAUCAGUUGGCUUUGUCAUGGUUGCCAAUCACAAUUCCUUCGCAAAGGAAUUUUUGGUCAGGUCAAAUUAGUGCAACAACAACACAAGUCAAUGCUGCAAUAGCGAUUUGAUUUGGUCAGUGCGGCGGCAACAUAAGGAAAAACCUAAAGUUGCAGCGGCGAUCUAAUUCGGUGGAAAGAGUGUGGAGAAAACUAGGGUUCUUGCUUUAAUACCAUGUUGAAAAAUAGAUCACUAUCAUUCUCAGUAUAUAUUUUUUCUUUACAAUGCUAUAUAUAUAUAUAUACACAUACAAGUACUACUUAGGUAACAAUCGCCUAUUAGGUAAACUAUUCGCUUUCUAUAUGCAUUACCCUCACAAAUCAACUCGCGCAAUUAUAAAUAUUUUCUUCCUAUACAUAUCACUCCUACAAAUCAACUCACGCCAACGGGACACUCCAUUAAAACACGUCUUGUCAAAUUAUUGCAUUGAGUAGCUUGCACACAACGCGCAUUGCUUUUCUUUCGGUGACAGAGCUAUGUCAGAUGAGAAUACCUGUGGACCCCAUUUUUUUUUUUUAAUGAAUGGUUCAAUCAUGAGAUUUUCGUGGCUGCUUUUUGGCAAAUAAUAACUUUUUUUAGAAUGUCCAAGAAAACGAGAGUUUUCCUAUUUACUACAAAGACUUCAUUCAUCUCAUAAAUUAUACAUUAUUUGAUAUUCUUCUUCUAAUGCCAUAACCAAUUAGAAACUUCUAUCCUCAUUUACUUUAAAUUUCAAAAUACCACAAAAUUUUUAUUUAAAAAUAAAGAGAACACUCAAUAUAAUGUAAAAUUGUCAUAUGUAUAUAGUGUGUGUGUGAAAUUUUUUUAUUCUACCUAUUGACAUAUUAAAUUUGGGCUAACUUAGACUCUUAUAUCUAUUUAAUGUUACCCAUUAAUUGAAAAUAAGUCUUGACAUUUCAUGCAUUAUCAUUUUAUAAGGAAAUUUUAUUAUUUUUUGCUAAAUUGUAAGAUUAGAAUGUCCAAUUAUUCUUUAAUCUUUAUAUACACUAUGGCUAUUUGUAAAGGUCAUGACUACUUUUUAACCAAAAAAAAAAAAUGUGUUGAGUAAACAAAAACAUCCAAAAUAAAUAUUCUCACAUUCUUAUUCUUUAAUAGCAUUCUUCCAAGUUUAAGAAUUACGGAUAUGUUUGGCUGAUACCACAUAAUUUUGAUAACCAGAUUGAUAUGGGAUUGUAUUCAAAAUUUCAUGCAAGUAUUUCAAGUCCUCACGGUAUGGAUGAAUCUGAUUUUUCAAUAAGACCCUCCUAUCAUGCACGCGAAGCCUUGGCCCAUUUCAAUUUUGAAGGUCAGGUCUGAAAGACCUUUGGAUAGCCUGCCCCCUCCCCCCUUAUAACCGUAAUGGCAUCGAAUCAUACCACACUCGAGCAUGAUUCCUUGCCACCCUUGGAUCGCCUCGAGCAAAGUAAGAAUCGAGGCAUUUGUGGAAUUUGACAAAGGAAAGGAAUAAGAUUUAUGCAAUUAAAAAGGGGAAAGAAUGAAUUAAGCCACAACUAGACACAGCUUGAUUCAUGACCCGGAUGAGGCCUACUAUGUGAUCCAGAUGUGCCUUGUUUCAUUGCUAGCAUACAUGCGACUGGGCCUAACUUGAUCCAUAACCGGAACUUUCUUUACUUGCCACUUCCCUCUCUCAAUUCUUACCGUAGUUUUUCCAUUCCUCAUAUUUUCAUUGCCUUUUUUCACACCACUAUGCAAUUGGUCCAUAUUGCUAUUCUUUGAUAUACUAAAAUGCCCUUGCAUUGGAGUAAAAUUGAAUGGUGGAGUUCUGUAAUUUUGCAACUACAUGUCAAUCUAGGCUAAUCUCAUUUAAUAAAAUGCUAGCAGGAUGUCGAUGUUCAAUUGAAUUUAUGCACAUAUUGAGUGGCCUUCAAAAUGUAGACAAUUUAACUGAAGUGCAUGCUUAGUUUAAAUUAAUGAUUGCAUGUUUGUACAAUUGUAUGCCAUCAUAAUAUCUCUAAAAUACUAGCUUCAUGAACUCUCGCCACCCUUUCAACAAUGAAAUGAUGUCACGACUACGCAUUUUGAGGGCUAUAGUCUAGGUUGGUCCACUUCGAACAUUGAGAGGCGCAAAAUUUAGAAGGCAAGAAAUUCGUCAAUUACUUGCGAUCUUCAUAAAUAUAUGCACAGGUCUUUCAUGGAAGUUUCUUUGUAAAAAUGUGAGGUUGAAGAGGUCAUUGAUUUUUUAUUUUAUUUGAUAGAGUAGAUUAAUAUUCUUAAGCAUAUUUUUACUGCAUCAUCGAGUUCAAAGUAUAGUUUGCAUUGGUCUUCAAGUUUUAUUUUAGCGAACCUUUAUUUUAACUUCUAAAAGAAUACCUUACAUUAUUUUUUAAUUUCAUACCAAUUUUACUCACAGGGAUGUUAAAGCAUGAGGCCAUCAAUAUUUCUCCAUCUUGACAUGAAUGUCUAUAUAACUUAGUAAAUAUAGUAAUGAAGUAAAAACUAUAUUAACUAAUAUCAUGAUACGACCAUAUUAAAAUUCGAAAGGUUGAGUAAAAUAAUUAACUUGAAAUAUGAAUAAAGGAAAAAUAGAAUUAAACUAACAUUUAGAAAAAUAUGUGGAAACUAUAGUCUUGGAGCCGUACAACAAACAUGUAUUUUGCUAUUUCUAUGUAGACUUCAUCUACAAUUACUGCCAACUAUUUUAUUUUAUGAGAAAAUGACACAAAUGGUCCUUGAACUUUCAUCUAAUGUUCAAUUUCAUCCCUGAACUUUCGAUUUGCUCAAUUUGGUCCCUGAACUUUCAUCUAAUGUUCAAUUUCAUCCCCGAGCUUUUGAUUUGGUUAAUUUGGUCCCUGAACUAUUUGAAAAUUGACCAAUUUUGCCCUUCAGCUAGUUAAAGUUAACGAAAUUGGCUUACAUGACUUUUAGUCUCUUAAAUAUAUAAUAAAAAAAGACAUGUGGAAUAUCCAUAUGGAAAUUACCUUUAAAAUAGGUCAAAUUAUGGCCACCAUCCAAAAAAAUAAAAAUAUAGAACCACUUGUUCUCUCUACUUUUGUGAUAAAUGCUCUCAUCUCUAGUUGACCCCUAAUUUAUUUUCCUUUUUUAAGAUAUAAAUUGACUAAUAAUUCUAGUAAUCCAACUUAGUUCCACAUCAUCAAUUAAUGCUCCACGUCAUCACUUAACGGUUUGAACAAACGGAAGGACUAGAUGGAAUAUUUGUUAAUAGUUCAAAGACCAAAUUGAGCAAAUCAAAAGCUUAGGGAUGAAAUUGAACAUUAGAUGAAAGUUCAUGGAUCAUUUGUGACAUUUUCUCUUAUUUUAUCUAUAAAGGGGUAAGAUGGCCAUGUCACCAACAUAUGAAUUCACCAACCCAUAAACAUCUCACUCUGCAAUUAGACUAAUUAGGCCUACGCAAAGAAAGGAGAAUUCUUGUAGACAAUGUCAAGAACUUUCUAUCAUUCUACUUAGUUGAAAUUAAAAUGUUGCCUGUGUAUCAAAAUAUAUGAUCUAGGAAACUAUAGAUUAAGAAAGGCGUAUCAUGAAACUGUUAUGAACUAGAAAAGAGAUUACUGAAAAAUUAUCUCUCAUAAAAACAUGAGAAGCACUGACGUUGAGAGAUUCUAUUCAGAAACAAAAACAAAAAAAAAAGGCUGAUAAAUUGCAACUAACUCAAAAAAGGAAGAAAAUAAAAGCAAAAAGAGUACACUGUAUCAUCGAUUCAUCACAAUUGCACAAAAGAUGCAUAGUUAGGAAUUCUAAAUUCAAGUCAGCACUACAAAAGGCCUAAAAUGACAUUUUCAGUGUUUUAACUCAAUCAACUAUUGGAUUAGUGGUAUUUGUUCCUGUGUUGUUUCUUCUUCGGUUAUGUUUCUUUACCAAGUGGAGUAUAUAUAUGUCCACUUGAUUCCGAACUUAACUUGUCCUUAUCAAUAAAUCCUGGUUUAAGACAUUGAACCAUGAAAGCUUCGAAAAAAAUGGCAUAUCACAUUCUUCCUGCACUACAUCAAAUCCACUUGGCAAAAGAAAUUAGAAUGCGAGGCAGCGUUAGGCGACAUCUGUAUUGGAAUUUGAGAUAUGCUAGUGAUGAAUUACGCUUUGGAUCUAACACCCCCCACCCCGCGCGAGGGGGACGGGGGGCAUCUCUUCAUAUGAGUUGGCUACAUCGCGAACUUGAAAAAAAAAGAUGCUCCGAUUCGACUACAUUGCGAACUUGAAAAAAAAAAAGAUGCUCCGAUUCGAAUUGGACAGCUAAUUGAUGAGGAUUGACGAGGGGGGAGACACGUUGGACUUGGAUUGACCCUACAUCUAGGCUGUUUGAUCUCAUAUGUAUCUUAAAGGGGAGAAAUGUAAUGAACAUUAUUAACACUCGAAUUUUUGUAGAUCAUUCGGAUAUCCAUUUUUUGUCAAAAUAUAAAAAUACCAAAAAAAAAGGGUAAAAACGACAAAAAUAUAGUAAUAAGAAAGAAAGAAAUAAAUAAAUAAACAUGAAAAAUAGAUUAAAAAAUAAAAUAAAAUUCGGGUAGGCCAUUUAUGCCUGGCCCGGUUACUGAGAAAAAUUUCCGGCCCACUCGGGCUUAGUUCCUGAAUUGGCCCAAUUUUCCUCUAACUUUUCCUAUUUUGUUCCAGCCCAACCCUUUUCCUUUGGUUUUUCUUCUCCCUUUCUCAAGCCCAUUUUGUUUCCUCAAAAGCCCGGCCCUUUGUCCUUCUCCUCCUUUGCACGCACGCCUUGGUGAGAACAGAGCGUCCGUGACGCAAGGAGAAAAUUCUGUUUUGGGUUGGCGUCGGCCAUUGAAGUGGGGAGAAGCUGCAGGGAGCUUAGCUGAAGAGAAGAGAAAGGAUCGACAAAAGGGGGGGACGGGGAGAAAAAAUCUCGUUCGAAGAAGGAGAGACCACUGCUUCAUCUCUGCUCUAUUUUGUUCGGUUUUGCUAAAGUUUAGAGGAUUAAACUUAGCCAAUGAACUCACGAGAAAACCUUACUAAACUGAGAUCGUUUUCGUCGCGAUUUAUGCUGAUCUAGAGGUUGAUGCACUGCGUUUAGACCGAGUACAGCAUCAAAUUUGGCCUCGGAACUUUUACACAAAAAACGCACGCCACCUGUUCGAUGAUUUGCGUAUAAGAAGUUUUGAAUCUGACUUUGCAUAAUCGGAUGAUUGAUAAUGUCUAGAGCUGUAAUGAUUCGUGUCUAGUACACUAACUGCUGCGUUCCUUUCCUUUUGGAUGCAUAUCACGCUCAUGGUGCCGUUUGAACGUGGUCAGAGUCUCAAAUCCAUCCUCGUUUAUUUUGGCGACGAUCGCGAUUAGCUACGGCCGUGCUGGAUGCCUCCACCUCUCUUUCAAGCACUUGUGUUUCGUCCGGUUCUGGAUUGGUGUGUGUGAAUGUUAAGUUAGAAAGGAAUUCUUUUCCGGUGGAGGAUGUGUUGGGGUUACCGCAGGGUAAGCCAUCGUCGGCGAAGGUUUGACGACGGUCGGAGAUGAUCGGCAGUGACGAUUUGGUGACGGUGGGCGAGGUUGGCGGCCGAAGUUGGAACGGUUGAGAUUUUGAAGUGCGUUCGUGUGGUGAGCUUUGAGUUUUUCCAUAGGGAAGAUUCGGCAAGUUGCAGGGGGAGAGAUUGGCUUCGGGAAGAAGACGACUUGAGAGAAGGGGACGAAGGAAAUUAAAAAUAAUAAUAAUAAAUCUUUAAAAAUUUAGGUUUAAUCCGACGCGGGUCGGGCCGGAUAGACGGAUGGGGUUGGGGGGUCGGACCGGGUAAAACCGGUCCGAAUUCCUUUUCCCGAAUAUAAUAAUAUUAAAAAUAAUAAAAAUCAUUAAAAAUAGAAAAAAAAUCAUAAAAAUCAAUUAAAAUAAUAAAAAAAUCAUAGAAUCCAGAAAAAUCAUUCAAACUAAAAAAAAUCGAAAAUUCAUAAAAUCAUAAAAAAUAAAUAAUAAUUAAGAAAAAUAACAAAAAAUAAAAAUUUCAAAAACUCAUAAAAAUUCAGAAAAUUGGAAUUCCUUAAAUUUUUUUUUGAUAGUUCUUCAAAUAUUGUUUUCUCUUAAAGUUUAAAAAAUCCUAUAAAAAAUCAAAAUCCAAAAUUGAACAAGUUUUUAUGGCUUUAUAAUGAGGAUUUUUGGGUUGUUGUUUUCUUUUAGAAAAAAUAUUAGGCUACUUAUGUGUUUUUACUUAAAUUGCACAUGAUUGCACAUUUCAAUAUCUUGAGUUUUUUUUUUUUUUUUAAAUGGUUAGGAUGAAACCUAAGAAUCUUCGUUAGGUUGCUAUGACAUUAGUUAGCACGUAAUCGAGUUAAGUACUGAAAUGACAUUAAUUUUAAGACUAAUGUAAUCAAGCCCUUGUUCCAAGAUCUUCGGUCGCACAUGGAAUGAGAUAUUUUCCUAUUUCUCGCUAGGUUUCUAGUUGAUCUAAAUAAGCUAGUGGCAACUCUUUACGUAGAAAUUUGUAUAUAAUUAAUUGAAUGAAAACCAAUUGUCCAACAUUUUGGGAGACCUGAGUCAACAUAAGGCCAUUGGCCCGAAUUUGGCAAUACCUCUAAACUUAAUUCCUUCCAUACCGAGAGGUUAGUCGUGACACACUCGUAUGAAAUUUCGGUAAUAAAAGAGCGCGAUAUGUACACAAACAUGUCAUUGGAAAAAACUACUAGUAGCACCACCGAGUUCUUAUAACAGUAGUUCGGACCCGGUGGAAAACAAGGCAUAUGUAAUUUAAGGUAUAUGUAAUUUAGUCCUCAUUUGUCGACAAGGUGUGGAACUUUCCAAAUUUUCGAGCUCCGCGGUAUUUUCCCUUUCCAGUCAAGGUUUGAUUGAUCCUUCAUUGGUCAUGCUCAAGGGAUAUUAUAUCUCUGAAGCACUUUAUCAAAUAUUACUGCAUGAGAAACGGAGUUCCCUUUGUGUUUUAAAACCUUGACGUGGCCACAACAAUCGGAAGCUCGAGAAGCACCAAACUUGGAUCCUUCGUAAGGACAAGGUGAUAAAAUCGUAUCGUAGCUCCAAAGGGAGGAAAACAAGACUAGAAGAGAGUGCGCUCACUAGAUCACCACAACUGAAGGAAGGGGGGAAUAAUCAGGAAAUUCGAGGCCCGAAGUGACAGCUCCCAAUGUUCGACUUGACUAAAUCAGGUAUAGACACCAGCAAUACCAAAGAUGGAGACAUUGAACACUGUAUUAUUCUCUAAUGAUGAGCUCAAACAUGCAGACGUUUACCAUAUGCAAGAGAGUUUCUAUCACAGACACGGACCAACUAGCUGCCAGGAAUGCCCCUCGAGUGGGUUAGUGAAUUCUGAGCUCCACCUUGCACGAUCUGUCACAAUGCCUAAGAGUUACAGUGUGAUUAUAUCCAUCAAAAUGUUCCUUGAAGAAUCCAAAGGGAAUUGUUUGUUGAGAUACAUAUUUGAACAUACAAUGUAUGAUUAUGAAAGACCAUAAUUAGAGAAUACACAAGAUGUAAGUUCACUGCACUUGGCAAUAAUUGCUAGCUUCAAGAGUUCUAAUCAGCAGCCUUAACUAUAAGAUAGAGUGCAUAAUCUGAAAGUAAUCAAUCUUAACCUUUCAAAAUUUGUGCUUUUAGACUAUAUAUAGGUUAUACAAUAUAAUCUCGAAUAAAAACCACAAGUUUAAGGGGAAAAUCAAACAAAUUGAAAACUCGAACAUGGACCGAAUUGAGAAUUCCACCGUUUGAUCAUGCCAAUUAAUUACGAUCCGCAUGACCCAAAUAUUACGUUAUCAGUCAACAUCCGGAAAGCUCGUUAAAGAGCAUCGAAUAAUAUGGAAUGAGAACUUAAAAUAACAUUAGUUUGAACAUUUAAUUAGUGAAUUAAUUAAUUCACUCUAAAAGACUGAGGGUAGAAUACAAGUUAAUUUUGUCAUGGAAAUCAAAAUUUCGAUAAGUUGCUUAAAUAAUUUUUGCAUCCUCUUCACCUUAGAAGUAGUAAUAUGAAGACCACGCCUUCGGAUCAUCAUGGUGAGGAGCUGGGACUUAGCUGAGAACAAGGUAAAUGUGGUUCAACCCUCAUUCCUAGAUAGGCCGUGAAAUCUUCUGGAUAUUUUGCUUUGAUGAUUUUUGUUUUUGCUGAGAGAAAUUCGUUCCCAAGGUACGAUGUCUUGCCGCUGCUCGAUGAAUAACGCAUCUCUGAAGCACUCUUCUCGAAUAUUAUUAUGCGAGAAUAGUGUUUUCUAUAUUUGGCAACUAUGAGGUGAACAUGAUCAAUGGACUAAUGUUCCAUGAAUCUGCACCACCCUUUCCACAGCGAAACCUUAUCAUUGUUUCGCUGUUCUAGUUCUAUAGUCCAGGUUGAACCACUCACAACUUUGAGAAGCACCGUGUUUGAGGGGUCCUUUCCAUAUUCUCUUAAGAAACUUUAGAAAUUCCCUAUUAUGAAAAAAUUAAAGUUACAAGUAACUCUUCAUAGUUAAAACGAAAGUGCAGAAAUGAGGAAGAAAACUGAGAAAUUUUAAAUUCUGCAGCAUGGAGGAAUGAUCAGUUUCCACUAGAGGUGUGCUUCGGUAUAAGUGUGGAUCAAAUUUUCGUGAUUGUUGCUUCAUUUGAGAAGCAUAAUGCAGGAGAAAAUCCAAAAUUGUCCUGCCGCCACGUCUAGUGACGCGAUGAUGUAGCACAGUCCAUUACUUAUGGCUGGACAAAAUUGCCAUGCCUAAUCUAAUGGUGGACAUCAAUUUAUCUUGAUCGCAUAGUUGAGAUUGCUUUGUCAUCGACGGUUGACAUCAAUUUGCGACAAGUGAACACACGACAUUCGAGAAAGAAUUGUGCUACUUCUCCGGGGCAAAUAAGUCAGUUCAGCACUUGUCUUGUAUUCGACUUAUCAAUUUAUGCUUUGAUUUUAAUAAUUCAGCUAUCACGUCAUUGUUGUGUCAUUAGUUAUUACGUUAAGUUUGGUAAAAGAAAGAUGACUAUCAAAUCCUGUAAUGCAGUGCCUGAUCAUUUCGAAUUUUUGUCAGUGGAAUUCUGUAACAUAGAUGCUAGAUCAGUUUCCAUAAGCAACAUGCUUUGGUAUAAGUGCGGGUUGAAUUUUAGGGAUAGUUGCUUCAUUUCAUAAGUGUGAAGCUAGAGAAUCCAAACUAUAAUUUAUAGACCGAUUGAGAAAAUUAUCAAAAAAGUCCUAAACUUUUUGUAAUUUUAUCAAUUCAGUUAUAAUUUUUUUUUUUUACUAAUUCAGUCGUAAACCUUUUGCAAUUAUGCAAAUUUGAUCUCUCUAAUCAAAUUUGGCCGAUCGACAGUGACAUGAAUAAUUUCUAAUAAUAUUUUAUUUUUUUAGAAUUUUUAAUUUUAUUUUCCCUCCUUUCUUCUUCCUCUAGCUAAUCGUUAAACCUUGGCAAUCGAUUAGAGGCAAGGGCCGGUGAGACUCAACCUCCCCAUAGCUAAGCAAGAUCGAGCCUUGUCAUAUCUAGCUUAGCCUUGCCAUGGAGGCCGGAGGAAGAAGAAAGGAGGGGAAAAAAUGAAAAUGAAAAUAUAAACAAAAUAAAUAAAAAUUUGUGUCAUUGGCUAUUACGUUAAGUUUGAUAGAAGAAAAAGCACUAUCAAAUCCUAUUAUAUCACUGAAAUAAAAUUUGUAAAAAAUUUACAAUUAAGCCAUGUACUAGUACAGACUAAUUCAAAUUGUGCAGAUUUGACAAAUCUUAACGCUUUCAAGUUGUGCAAUAAAAUUCUAAAAUUGUUAAAAAUAUUAACAAUUACUUCACAUUAUCUCCUCCAAUUUGAGUGACAAAAGUCCGAUGUGGUCUUUUCAAAUAUUCUUUUUAUGAUGGCUGAAAAUGAUGCAGUUAACUACUUUUUUCUUAUAAUAGAUCUUAAAACUUUCAGGUUGUAGUCUUUUCCUCUAGUUUUCGUGUGAUGGGGGCACACUAGUCACCAAUUAGCAUAAGGACCUAGGACCAAAACCCUCCUGUGAUUGAUCCUUGUAGACGGUGACGAGCAGUGCGCCACCAUAUGUGCUAAUAUGGUGCUCAGUCGAUGGUAUAUUUCUUGAGAGUAGUUAAAAGUGGAAUUAUUAGGUUAUAUUGUUAAUCAUAAUUUACAAAACUAACUAAACUACUUGGUUGCGCCUGCUGCUGGAUGAAAUCUAGAAUUUGAUUGCAUUUUCAAUAAAAGUUUUCAAAGUUUCCGGUGCAUUUAUCUCUAUUUUAUAUAGUAUGGACAUAAAAAUUAUGGAUGAUAAAUUUGCAUAAAUAUAUAUGUAUAUAUAUAGAUGUCUUGUGUUUAAAAGAUAUAUAGUCCAAUUUACUUAGUCGAUUCUCCUAGAUUUUUUUUUAGUAUUUUGUUAGUUAGUUAGAUUUGCAUGUGCAAUCUAUUCAAAUUUAUGUUUAGUUAAGACUUAUUUCGUGAAUUUCCGAUGAUUAAAUUUAUAUGUAUCAUUUAAGUAUGUGUAUAUCUAAAUAUGAUUGAUUUGUCUAGCAUAAUAACUUAAUGUAAUAACUACUACAAAACUAUUUUUUUAAAUGUUCAAAAACUAUAUAAUAGGUAGGAGUACAUUAUAUUUAUGCUUUUUUGUUUUUUUUUAUGCCACGCGUCUUCUGAGAGCAACGUCUCCAAGCGAGUGUAUGGAUGAGUGCAGCGGUUCAGACGGGCCCAGUACAGCCCAGAUCAUUUCGUGACCUCCUUUUGUAUUUUUUGUUAGUUUUUUGGGGCCUAGUAGAAAUUUUCUUUUAAUCAUUUUUUUUUUUUAGUGUCUCAGGAAACCCCGUAAGCCGACAGCCGGCGGGUAGAACCUAGGGGCAGCACAGGUGAAACCACCACCCCAUGCCACCGGGUAAGUCACCACAUAUAGCGCUUCAGCCUCCCUGCUUAGUAGGGGCUUCGAACCUUGGCCCCCUACGGGGAAGGGCAAAGGAUCUACCAUCCACGCUGCCACAGUUGGUGGUAUUUUCUUUUAAUCAUUAAUCUUUGAAAAAAAAAAUUUAUAAGGUGGAGACUCUCGUCGACAUGGGAGAAGAGAGAGACUCAUUCUUAUUCGGUAAUGCAGUGGCCAAUCGUUCCGAAUUGAGGGCUUUUGUCGACGGUCGAAAAAGCCCCAAAUCCAAAGUCCAAUCGGCGUUCAACCUUUAUGGCGAAGAUCCAAGCGGCCUUGUUUCAUGCCGAGGCUGACGAAACUCGUAAUCCUCCAAUUAUGCUGCUUCCGGCCGACCCUUCUUCACGAAUUGGUCUUUCGUUUAAUCUGACUGCAGUGGUAUCAGAGAGUACGACGCUUCGGAUUCCAGAUUUGUAGCGGCGGUCGGCGAUGAGGACAAACGGAAUUGAGGGUGAUCUUAUAAUGGCAGCACCUUAGGCUCAUGGCAUUUUGUUGUGAAGUAUGGUGCUUUGGGAUUGUUUGUGCGAGUAUGAAAGGGGGAAGAUUUGGAACGUUUGCAACUUCCUCUGAUGGUGCAUCAGAGGAGAAUGAAGACAAGCUUCGGACUGCAUUCACCAUGAUCGCGGUAUGUGCUUUUAUUCCCCUAAAUCUAUUUUUCAAUCCUUGAGUUUUUUUUUUUUUUUAAAUCAAAACUUAGGCUGUGUUUGAUUCAUGGAAAACGUAACGUUUUUGGAAAAUGUUUUAUGUGAAACCAUUUUCCAGGAAAAUUGUUAGUUUUCCUUUGUUUGGUGAUACGUGACUGUGUUUGGAUCGCAUUUGAAAAAUGAUCUAACAAUUGACAAUAGUGUGCCUCUUACUUCCAAAUUAAUUUGUUGAGUCCAUGUUACUUUAUAAAUUGAUUUUUCUCGAUUAGUUUAAUAAAUCUAGAAUUUGAACCUGCAAAAUGAAAAGGAAACCUGAAUUCAUACAUGUAUUUUUUUUUCCUGAAAAUGGACAUGAUUUCCGGUUACAAGAGCAAGUCAAAACAAUAUCAUUAAUCACUUCAAUACAUUUGGCUCUCUUCAGAUGGAUGCGCGUCUCGUGCGGCUCUCUGCAAGUUAUCCUGAAUUGCUGAUGGACACCACGAAGGACCAUACCUAAAAGCUAUGUCCUGUAGAUAAGGAAAUUGAUCAAUUCUCCAGGGUGGGAUUGAUCCUAAAAGCUAAAGAAUUUAUACUAAAACAAUACAAAAAUAGAAGAAGACUACAUUAGCCAUUGUCGAGGCUGCUAACUCCUUCAGUUCCAGUGAAGCAUCCUGAUCCUCGAAGAGGAUGUAUGUAAGAGAUGGGAGCAUGGAAGAAUUAACAAGUAUGGUAGCAUUAUCAUCAAUGCUAGAUAGGUUAUGCAAUGCCAUCAUGCUGGGUGCCUUUCCUUCUUCCUUCGCUAACAUUAGAACAAGUAUUUUGGUGCUUUGCCUGGCAACAAACAAUUUGCUGUUGCUAGUCAUGGUCAUGCUUCCCUACAUGGAAGCCAUCCUUAUUGCUGUUUCUGGAAAAGUUGACAUACUCCAUCAGAAAUUACAGCUGUGUUAAUGUUCAACACUAUAUGGCAUUCAAGCGGUGUCGCAGAAGCUACUACAAACAUUCAAAUUCUGAUGCUUAGCUACUUGAAUAGCUACUACAAGUAACCAAAGAACAAGUCUAAUGUUAAGAUCAAAACUUGAAGAAGAUACAUAGCAGACUAGAUAACAUGAAAGAAAAAUUAAAGCUGGAAGAAGGGACAAUCACAAAAGGAAGCUACAGACUCCUAGAGUGGCAUUAUCAAGCAUGGAAAACGGAUCGUUCAAAAUAAAUGGAUAGCAUCUCAUAAGAGGAGAGCAUUAGAACAAAAGGAAAAACCAUUUUGCAAUCCUUCUAAGAAACUUGGAGCCUGCGAGUUAUUAUUAUAAUCAGAUAUAAUUUGCCCCCUAAAAUCAAAUAAAAAGACACAAUGUAAUAUGUAAGCUGUAGUCCUCCACAAUAAUUUUCAUUCAAUAUUUGAAUAAUAUACAAUGUUUCCAUGUUGUAGUAGUUCUAUUGAUUUGAGGAGAGUCAUGUAGCUUGAAUCUUAAUAUGUAUAGCUACUUGCAUGAGAUGUUUGGUUGUGACCUUAAUCAUCACUUCCAAUAUUCACCAUUGAAGCAAAACAUAUAAUGUUGGGUCAUACCUUUUCUAUCAUGAAAAGACGAUGUUUAAUAAGUGGCAUCUCAUUCUCAGGUUGCAAUGCAAGUAUCUCCACUUUGUCACAGUCAAGCACCUCUAGGGUCUUCAAUGCUGGCCAAUGUGACACAUAUUUUCCGAUGUAGAUGCACCUCAACUUUGUUAAAUGUUGAAGCUUGAGGGAGGUUAACUUUGGAAACACAAACCUGGGAACUUCUCCAUCUUCCUUCUUAAUGAGUGCCACAAUGCCACAUUCACUGAUCUCCAACUUCUCAAGUUGGAUUAGAUGUAUUGCUAUUGAGGCUGGAAAUAGAGAGGUGAGGUUCUUGCAUCUAGAAACAGUAACAAAAAAAAGACACUGAAAUUUGACUUGAUUGUGGAGUUCCUUAUCCCAUACACACUUUAGCUUUGGUAAUCCACCUAACUCUAGCCUUUUUAAUGGCAAAUGAGCAACCGGAUGUCCAUCUAGAGGAUUCAAUGGCUGAAGUUUGAAAACAACUUCAAGCGAAUCGCAUAAUUUUACCUUCAAACUUUCCAAGCUCCUGAGCCGUCCAAGAAUGCAAGAGGGAACAAUGUUCAAUAGCUUAUUGCAUUCCCACACCUCAAGCGAUUUUAGUUUGUGGAGAGAGUCUGCAGCAACUUGGUUGUCCCAUAUUAUCUCAAUAUUAUUCACGCCCCGGAUUGCUAAUGUCUCCAAGCUAGGAAAUGCAACCUGCAAUAUUCACCGAUGAAAUUAGUGAUUCUAUUAGAUUAAUAGUUCAUGAAGUUCCAUUACAUAUAGAAGAGCUCGCUUGAGGAAGAGUGUUAGCACUAGAAAGAAAACGAUGGAGAGAUUGAGAUUAAAAAGGCGACUAAUCAUUAAUCAAAAGGUACACUAUAGAAGUAGUUGCUUGCACCAUCCUUGAAAUCAAAUCAUGAGUUUCUUAAUUGUCGUAAAGAAAAAUUACAAGAUGCAAGGAAACACAUGGAAGAAUUGAUGGUCCCAAAAAUUACAAGAUUUGACAGGCCACACAAGUCUUCCCUUUUUCUUUAAGGACAAUUUAAAAGACAAUAUUUUGAAAACAAAAAGGACAAUAUUUUGAAAACAAAAAGGACAAUAUUCCUUAUUUGUGGUGGGCCUUAAUUUUGGCAUGGUUGGUUGUGUUGUUUCUCCGUGAUAACUAUUCUACUUCAAUAAAGUAAUCGCGGUUGAUUUGUCCAUAUUAACAAUUUUCCUUUUUUCAUUUUACUAAAAGUAGUUUCACGUUUUUUGGACAAGUCUAGCUUCAAAAUUAGUGUAUUAAUCCCCAUACUGUCUUUGUUAGCCUGUUAGGUUUAUGUUGAUUUUACUAAUUUGCUAAAAUUAAACACGUGCGAUACAAAUAUAUUACUAUUUAUAAUCUUUAAUAUCUCUAAAAUAUAUCAAGGACAUCAUCACUUUUGGUUAAAGUCAAUAUCAAUUAUUUUUAUUCAAUACUAUAUCACUCUAAAGCAAUUAAAAGUUAGGCUAAAACAAAACAAUCAAAAAUGGAAUUGCUUGGGUCAAAAUGAACAAAUCUUUCUUAUAUCAUUUUAUUGUCAAAAGAACUCAAUAUUGUAGUUCAUACAAAUAAUUAAGUCCUACUGUCGAAAAUAGUCCUAAAUAUCCCAUUAAAAAAGGUUAAAGUCAUCAUAUCAAUCCAAUUGAAGGGCCCAUUUAGUUAAGUCAAAGCGGAUCUGCCCAUAAACUUCUCUAUUUCAUUUUCCAUUAAAACAUCCUUCCACCGUCCACUUGAGAAGUUAUAUGAGUCGACUAAAAUAGCUACACUGCAAAAACUUAACGAACAUUUAACGAAAUUGAAAAUUGUUAUUAUGGUUUCCAAGAUAUCAAUGGAUCGCUCGGUUUCAUUAUUGACAGCUCGAUCGGUUCGAUGAUACGGGCAAAAGUGUUACCUUGAACGAGAGGCGCUUUGCAUGAAUUAAAGUUCAUAAAUCGAUUGAAUUUGAUAGAUCAUCAUCUAGAACUCACACAAAGCUCUACCACCACCGUAAAUUCUAUAUGGUGGCUGAUGAACAGUUUAAAAGUUUUAAAUCAAUGUUUCGAGCCAUCUAGCACCUCUCUUUCCCCUCUGGGGACCACCAAAUCAAGAAGAAAGACCUAACCCAACAUCCUUACAUUUAGGGGUGAGCGUGGUUCCGGGUAGAACCGGGAACCGGAACUGAACCGGAGGAGGUUUCAGUUCCCGGUUCUAAGGGGACCGGUUCCAGUUCCCGGUUCUCUUUUUCCAGGAACCGACGAUUCCCGGUUCCGGUUCCGGUUCCCAUAGGAACGGGAACCUGAGGAACCGGAACCGGCAAAAUUAAAAAUUAAAAAACCCCAAUCCCUUCCGCGCGAAUUUCCCCCCUUCAAUUUUCCCCCCUUUCCCUUUAUUUUUCUCUCUAUUUUCUCCCCUUUUUCCUCCUCACGUCACUUCCUGCGCCCCACUUUUUUCUUUUCCCCUCUCUCUCUCUCUCCUCUUUCCUCCUCUCUCAGCCGAACCCUCCCACCUCCUCCUCCUUCUUCUUCUUCUUCUUCUUCUUCUUCCUUCCUCUCGCCGGUUGCUGCUUCACCCACCACCACACCGCCGCCCCACGCCCUACUCACCACCACCUCUUGGCCACCGAACCCCCCCCCCCCGCCACCCUCUGCUCGUCCGACAAGCCGUCUCACUGUUGAGCCCGACGAGCUGUCUUGCCGUCCGCGCCGCCGUGAGGGACCGCCGUCGUCCCCAAGCCACCGUCCCCACCUCUUGCUGCCGCUUGCUUGGCCGUCCGGGCCGUUGUUGCUCUGAACUGUCACCCCCUCCGCCCGAACCCGGAACCUGUUAGGUUAAGCCCCAAAUUAAUUUACCCUAGUCUCAGUUCCCACUUUCACUUCACACUUCCUCUCUGUCUCUACCCGACGUUGCUCACUAUGCUCCGUGCUCGCCCUUGACGAGUUCCUCGACGAAUCUCCACACGGAGUCGGGCCUCAAGUCCCUCGACGAGUUCCUCUCCGGCAAGACCUACAUCUCCAGGUAAAGCUCGUCUACAAGAAGCCGGCAAAGAAGACGACCGCAUCCCCAUCUUCGUCGGCUCGGAGGACCUCGCGUGGAACCAUGUAUCAUCCCACCAGAGGCAGCGUUCGCGGUGGCAAAGACCGUAAGCUCUCUCUCUCUCUCUCUCUCUCUCUCUCUCUCUCUCUCUCUCUCUCUCUCUCUCUCUCUCUCUCUCUCUCUGCAUCGUUCUUUUUAAGCUCUUGAGCAUUUGUGUUGUAUUCUCUUUGCUCGAUUCGAAAGCGCGGGGCUUUGAAGCUUGGGCUGGCUUUUACCUCCUCGACAACGAGAUUCUCAUCCUCAAGGUAUGUCCCUCUCUUUGGACGUCAAUGGCUUUGGUUGGAUUUGCUAGGGCUCGUGGCGCGGGUUUACUUGUUGUUGGGGGCUUCUGUGCUUCGGCUCGUGCGCGAGGGUUUCUUUUGAAUCUUAAUUUGGGGUCCGUGCAUUGAUGGGGGUUUUGAUGGGAUUUCAUUUGUUUUUCUGUUUUGUGAUGGUAGGAGGAGAUGCAGAGGACGAAUCUGGAGCUGGAGUCGUAUAAGGAGAAUAUAAAGGAGAAUCAAGAGAAGAUUAAGCUCAACAAGCAACUCCCUUACUUAGUCGGCAGUAUUCUACUCUUUAAUGUUUAAUGUAUACUUCUGCUUUGGGCAGGAUGCAAGGAUAUUGAUGAUGCCCUGCACUAUACAGCCCUUUCCAAUGGAAAUUUUGAAGUUGGAGUUCGUAUCCUUAGUUGGGCUUUCCCAGGGCUUCAUAUUUAGAUUUAACAUGGUUGUGACUUAAGAUUAAUCCUGCCAUAAUGGUUUUUCUAGAGUCGUUUGCAUAGGAAAGUUCAUGGCCUGUAUUCAGGUAAACAGAAGUUGAAGUUGAUGUCAUGUCAGAAUACUUAAAUUAAUGGAUAUAGAGCCUCAUCUGGUUCGGUUCUGUUUCUUCCCAAUCCUUCUGUGGAUUUUUAUUUUCUUUAAUCUUGACUAGCUGCUUAUGAAACUUCUACUUAUCCUGUGAGUAUAUGUUCUGAUAAUAACUUCUCUGGUGCACCCUGUUUGUUAUCGAGCAUAUUCAAGGAGUAUUUAUCAAUUUUGUCCUUCACUUUGUAGUAAGUGCCACCAUCUUCUGAGGUGGUCUUGCCUUGACAAGGAUGCCUUUCUUUUUACUGAGUUCUUUUGCAUUACCUUCUUGCCAUGGCAUUGUCUGGCAGAAAUGUUUUGUUGAUUCUAGUGAGUGAGGCUUUCUUGGGCCAAGUUACUUUUAGCUGCUUUUGUCGUUCCUAAUUUUCUCUUUUGGUCCUUCCUUGAGCUGGGUAGAGAUAAUUCUUAUGCCUUUUGUUUCUGCACAUAUUUUCCCCUCAAAUUUCUGAACUUGAUCUCCAAAAUCUCUGACAAACUCUCAGCAACUUGAUUUACAAGCUUUAUCUAGUCUAUCAAUUUUUCGAGCAUGGUUCGAUUUGACUCCAUGUUGAUGGGGUCCAAGUCAAUUUUGUUCCGCACUAAGGUACCCUGGCAUUCACAUACUAAGGAGUAAAGAGUUCAAGGGCCCACAAUUUCAACAAUUUGAAUUUUUGGUUUUUGAAGACUUAGCCAGGAAUUUUUCCUUAAUGUUAGUCACCUAGAUAUUGCUGACGUGACAAAUUUUUUGCACCCUUCCACACCACUCGAUGAUGAGGCUAUGCAAAGGGGCACUUCUGUUUACCUUGUUGAGCGCCGCAUUGACAAGCUUCCAAAGCCUUUGACAUAAGGUAAUAUGACAUUUAGAGCUGUAAAAUGUCUCUUUAACAUCAAAGAAAAGACUGAUUGUGGUUAAUCCAUGGUCCUGCCUAUAUCAAACUUAACAUGUGAAUUUAUGUUGCAGAUAUAUGUUCACUUCGGGUAGAUGUGGAGAGACUAGCUUUUUCUGUUAUUUGGGUAUGUUUCUUGUUCUAUCUUCGUCAUUUGCUGUGCUCUUUUUGGUAAAGAGGAUUGCAUGUCCAUUAGCCGCCAUCACCAGACUACACUAAAUGAUAGCUCAUGUGCUUACUAAUCAUGAAUUGUCGGCCCUGUGUAUACCAAUAUAUUGAUUGAUCUUCCCAUGAAAGGAGAACAAUCUUGUUUACUGCCCAUUUUCAGGAAAUGACACCUGAAGCAGAUAUAAUAUCCACAAGAUAUACAAAAAGUAUUAUUAAAUCAUGUGCAGCUCUGUCUUAUAUUGAAGCUCAGACAAGGAUGGAUGACAGGUAAUCAUGUAAAUGUUGAGAAGGCUAUUCCUCUGUUCAUAUGAGCUCUUUUCUGGUGUAUAACCUCUCACACAUUGUACUAAACUUGUUAUGAUUAAUCAACAUGCUAUUUCCACAUGACUUAUCCUCUGUUCAAUAAAUUUUCACGUUAGCAUAAUUCGGCAGUUCCUAUUCUUGCUGUUGAGUCUUUCAUGAGUCUUCCAUUUUUUUAAACUAAAAAUGAAAAAAAAAAAAAAAACUCGUUGGAACCUGUUGGAACCUGGAACCGACCCCGGAACCUGUGAUAGGGUAGGUUCCAGGUUCUUGGUUCUGACGGGUAGGUUUCAGGUUCCAAAAAAUGAGGAACCUGUACCCGAGGGUAGGUUCCAGGUUCCAAGCGGAACCUGUAAGGAACCAGGAACCGCUCACCCCUACUUACAUUGCCACACAGCGAGGGCUUACGCUUACCAUAAGAAAAAACCAAAUGCAACGCAAAGCCUUACCGAGCUCACCGCCUAUUCUACCUUUCCAUCAAUGGUCUCCUGCCACGUCAUAGAAACCCCCAACUUUCAAAACAGUACCUCAAGGACUCCCCCACUAUGUGAGCAACAAUCCCGUAAAGCGGAGCAAUCGACAUCAGUCGAUUAGCGCCAUCAAAGCGCCCUAGGGCCCGCACAACGCAACGGCUGAGAUUGCGUCUGUGGCUCGCGAGCUACUUGGGAUCACGUAAUCUUGCGAAGCAGCGGAACAAUAGCCUAGGGGUCGCCUUAAAUUCACUAACGUUGAUGUGUCGCCUUCCCCAACUGGGUCGACAAAUCACGGCUCAACACAGUGCCUAGAGUCAACUCCCCCGCCCGCAUCCAUAAAAAUGGUCGAGCAACGAGCAAAAACUAAAUUGCGCAGUUUGGCAUCUAAGAUAGAAUCGGGGCUUUGGGGGUAUGGUUAAUCUGGAAGCAAGAGCUUCCUUCCAUCGGGAAAAAAAAUUGUAAAAGAAAAAAAGAUCAAGUAAGUGUAAAUGAAGUCAAGUGAGUAUGAUUGUACAUGCCCAUGAGAACUACGAAAAUUUUUAUAUAAAAAAGAUAAGAAUUGAAAGGGAUGACAAUUUGUGAUACAAAUUAGCAUAUUCGUAGAUGAUUAUCUGACAAAUUCGAAAACGGCACGACUUGAUACAAACAUAAUAAAUAUAAGUUUGUAACAAAAUCAACAAAAAUAUGGUGUUGUCCAAUGAACAUGGAUUGCCAGGCAGUCGAUUUUUUAUGUUUAUUUUGAUAGAAAGUACUUAUAUUUUGUUACGUUUGGAAGAAAGAUGCUAACGUGAAAGUUUUAGAAUGCUCAAAAUAUCUCUCAAUAACCUAUACACCUACCCAACAAGCAGAAGCUGACAGACUCCUUUACAUGAUUCCUCUUUCUUUAAUUAUUAGGUAAUUAGCAACAUUCUCAUGCGUUUGCACAGGCAUGGAAUUUUUCAUUUUUGUAAAAUCAGAAUAUGUUUUAAUACAAAUAAUUAACUAAAUUGUAUCUCAUUUCUUAUGAAUCUCCCUUUUAUUGAAGAAAAAAGUCUAAAUUCUUAACUUGUAUUAUGUAAAACAUAGGGAUUUGAUAUCAUUUAAAAGUUCUUAAUUGUGAUCAUUAUAUGAUAUAGUGUGAUUUUUUUAUAUAAAAUAUACAUCAUUGUAAUAAUGAGAGAAAAUUACAAAACUCAUCAAAAGAAACAUAGGAAGAGUUACAUUGCUAAUUUGCAAUGCUAAAACUCAUUAAAGCCAAUGGUCUCAAACAAGGCAACCACCUAUGAGAAUGAGGACUACGCGUUGGAAGCAAGAUGAGUGGAAAGUACAAGGAGAGUUUCAAUUCCAAGGAGAACAAUCUUCUAGCAAAUUACAAGUUUAAGUGAUGCUCAUUAUGGAUAUUAAUGAAGAAUACUCCGUAUUAAAUAUUUAUAUAAAUUUUCAAGUGAGGUUGCCGAUUCGGCAAUGAAGUGGAAACAAUAGCACAUUUAGAAAAUUAGCCAUGCGUCUGCCAUAGCGAUAGUUUGCUAGAAAAUUUCGUAUGUUUUGUCAAAUGACAUUUUUAUUUGAAAUUAUAUCACUCUAGAACAAUUAAAAAGUCAGGCUAAAACAAAACAAUGAAAAACAAGAUUGUUUGGGUCAAAAUGAACAAAUCUUCCUUAGAUCAUUUUACCCUCGAAAGAACUCAAUAUUGUAGUUCAUACCAAUAAUUAAGUCCAACUAUUGAAAAUAGCCCUAAAUAUCUCAUUAAAAAAGAUUAAAGUCAAUAUAUCAGUCCUAUUAAAGGGCCCAUUUAGUUAAGUCAAAGUGGAUCCGCCUUAAACUUUUCUAUUUCAUUUUCCAUUGAAAUGUCCUUCCACCAUCUACUCAAGAAGUUAGAUGAGUCGACUAAAAUAGUUACAUCAAGAAAACUUAACGAACAUCUGACGAAAUUAAAAAUUGUUAUUAUGCUUUCCAAGUUAUCAACGGGUCGCUCGCUUUCAUUAUUGAUAGCUCGAUCAGCUCGAUUAUACAAGUGAAACCAUUACCUCGAACGAGGGGCAAUUUGCACAAAUUAAAGUUCAUAGAUCGAUCGAAUUUGAUUGAUCAUUAUCUAGAACUCACACAAAGCUCCACCACCCCUGUCAAUUUUAUGUGGCGGCGGGUGAACAGUUUAACCUAAGUUUCAAACCAAUGUUUCGAGCCAUCUAGCACCUCUCUUUCCUUAUGUGGAUCACCACAUCGAGAAGAAAGACCUAACCCCAGCAUGGCAUGAAAAACAUCCUUACAGUCCCACGCAGCAGGACUUCCUAUAAGAAAAAAAACCAAAUGCAACGCAAAGCCCUACCAGUGGCCCAUUGCCCAUUCUCCCUUUCGGCCAAUGGUCUCCCACCACGUCAUAAAAAGCCCCCUACUUUCAAAACAGUACCUCAAUGAGUUACCCAAACCACCCCCCUUUAUGUGAGGAACAAUCCCGUAAAACUGAGCACUCGUGACUAGUAGAUUAGCAUCGUCCAGCGCACCAGGGCCCACUUGGCGCAACGGCUAAGGUUGCGUCUAUGGCUCGUCAGUUACCCGAUGCCUGGGAUUCGACCUUAGCGCACGCACGUGGCGGACCCGGACCAGUGCAGCCACGUAGGCUCACGGAGCAGUGGAACAGUACCCAGGUCGCCUUAAAUUCACAUAUGUCAAACUUAUGUGAUCUUCUCUCUCCUCAUGUUUUUCUUUCUUUCUUUUUUCUUUUAUUACUUUUCCUUCCACACAUGUGCAUUUAUAAUUGGAAUUUCUAUCUUUUCUUUUUUGGUUCUUUUCAUAUGUUCUCUUAAUGCAAUUUUGCUUACUUCCUGAUUGUCUACUUCUUAAUAAGGUCUAUGUUGUAAUAAAAUUGUCGAAUAUUUACAAUUUCUUUUUAGCUAGUUUUUGAUGAGAUCUUGAUUUUUGAAACGACUCCAAAAGUGUUGACUCUAAAAGAUGAUACUAUUGUAAUUUUAUACAUAAAAAAAUAUAAAAAUUGAAAGAAUUGACAAUUUGUGAUACGAAUUAACAUAUUUGUAAAUGAGUAUUUGACAAAUUUGAAAAUGACACGAAUUGAUAUGAACAUAAUAUAAGUAAAUUUAUAGCCAGCUAGUUGAUUUUUUAUUUUUAUUUUGAUAGAAAGUACUUAUAUUUAGUUAUAUUUGGAAAAAGACGCUAACAUGGAAGCUUCGGAAUGUUCAAAGUAGUUCUCUCAAUAACCUAUACGCCUACCUAGCAAGCAAAAGCUGAGAGACUCCUUUUGCAUGAUUCAUCUUUCUUCAAUUACUAGGUAAUUAGCAGCAUUCUCACUCGUUUGUACAAGCGUGGAAUCUUUCAUUUAUGUAAAAUCGGAAUAUGUUUCUAAUACAAGUAAAUUAAAUUGCAUCUCAUUUCAUACGAAUCUCCCUUUUUUGAAGAAAAAAGGCUAAAUUCUUAACUCUUAUUAUGUAAAACAUAGAGAUUUUAUCAUAUUUAAAAAUUCCUAACUGUCAAUUAGUAUUCACCCAGCAAAUUACAAAAAUCAUCUAUAUGUGUUUAUAUAAUAGGAAGACUUACAUUGCUAAUUUGCUACACUAAAACUCAUUAAAACCAAUGGCAUCGAACAAGGAAACUACCUAUGAGAAUGAGGAAUUCUUAUUGGAAGUAAGAUGAGUGGAAAGUACAAGAGAAGGAGAACAAUCGUCUUGCAAAUUAAAAGUUUUGGUGAUUAUAUUAAAUAUUUAUAUAGAUUUUCCAGUGAAGUGCUGAUUUGAUGAUGAAGUGGAAACUACAGCACAUUUAAAAAAUUAGCCACGUGUCUUGCACAUCAAUAAUUCGCUGGAAAAUUUCGAACUUUGUGUCAAAGUGCAUAAAUUAUAAUGAAAUGAAAAUUAAUUGACUUAGAUGAUUAAAUAAAAGUUCAAUGACUCUAUUACAAGAUCUUUUACUAUAUAGUUACCCCAUAAUUUUAAGAGUUAACAAUUGAGCUUUAAUGGUGCAGUAAUCAUGUGGAACGCAAUCAAUUUUAACCAAAUAGGGCUUUGGUAAUUAUGCUUAGUCUCCAGUAUAACUAUUUAUUAGUUAAUUUUAAUUAAUUAGCCAGAUGGCGUAAUAAUUAUUUAUAUGCAUAUAUCUUUAUUCUAAUUUCUUAACAAUUUGAUGUGAUUGAUCUGGCUCUUGUUGGUGUGAAUUGAAACUUGACAAUUAUUUGUAGCGGCAUGUGGCAACUUGAAAUGCUCAGCAUGUAUACUUCUAAAAUGUUAUAACACAUAAAAUUGAUGCCUUUACUCUAUCAGAUUUUUAUUAUAUUUUAUAUUUUGACAUAAGGUUAAUCACUUACCUCUUGAUUGAAGAGGACAAUAGAGCACGAUUUGACGUGAUCCUCAUCCCAAGCUUCUAGUGUACCUGUGAUCAAUUUUUCAUCGGAUGAAAAGAAUGUCAUAAAGAAUGUCAUCUUUUGCAUUGCAAGGAUGAAUUAAUCCAAGAAGAUCUUCAAUGAUGAAACCAAAACUAACAAUCUUACACUUUCUAUGAGAGAAACACGACAAGCUUCUCAACCAUGUCAAAUAUAACUUGGUUAACAUUGGGAAUGCUAGAGUUUUUGAUGUUUCUAUUCUCAACCCUUCUUCCUCCAUAAUGAUUGCCUCCAUGUUCAUGCAAUAACAUACAUACAGUUCUCUCAAUUGUGCAAGAGACUGAACCAUAGAUGGCAAAAAUAGAAACCGGAGGUUGGUACAAUGCCACACCUUUAAAUACUUCAAAUUAUGGAAUCUCACAAUUCCACAAGGGUUCUUGUUCCAUAUGCACCUCAAACUUGGUAAUUGAAUUAUAUAGAUGGCGUUUAGCGCAGAGAGAGUCUCAAUAUUUGCACCGGCACCUAGUCCAUCAAGGUCAAAAAUUUCUUGCACUGAAAUGCAAUCUUCUACCUCUAAAGUGUGUAACUUGUGUAGUUUUAUUAGUGACCUGGAGUUAAUAACUUUUGAGAGAGAUUUGCAUGAAUACAGCUUAAGAAAUUGGAGAUUGCUCAGCUCCAAUGGAGAUUCAUCAGUCCAUAAAUCUUCUAGAUUGGGAAGUCUAGCCAUUGUCAACGACUCCAAGGAUGGCAUUAAAACCUGACGAAUAAACCCAUUAGCAAAGAGCAACAAAGAAACUUGCGCGCUAUAGCAGGUAUUACAAAUGGUUGCGAAAGGAAAUUUACAAACUUAAGAUAACUUUUGCAUUUACAUAUAUCUAUGAUAGGGAAGCUGAUUUGCAAUCCGGAAAGGUAUCAAAAGACAACUAAUAAACUUCAUUUUUUAUUUACAAUAUAUACUCAUGGAUGUUACUAUAAUUAAUUUUCUUUGCAAUUUACUAAUAAUAAGAGAAAUUAUGGUCAUCAAGAAAUAACAGUCAUUCAUUUUGCUAAUGACUAUGAAAAUUCACGAUCCAUAUAGCAAAAGAAAGUGCAUUCAAGGUAAAUUACUUCCUAUAAGAUAAACCACUCCCUCUUAGGUUAUGUUACCAUUGUGACAAUAUAUGACUCAUUUUAUCAUAUGAUUGCGAGAAAGUACUGUACUAUCUCACAACAGAGAUUACUACAAUGAAACAAUAAUAAAGAAACUAUAGAAUGACCAUGAUUAUGAAAGAUAUAGGCAAUUUACUUAUAAAGGAAAAUAUCUCAUUGCAAUAAUUGAUCAAUAAGGCAAGAUUGCAAUUAUGAGAAAUAAAUUAUUAUGUUGUAAGACCUUAAUUACUACCUACCUAAGGGAACUUAGCUCUGACAAAAUAAAUAAAUAAAUAAAUGUAGCAAUUUCAUAAAGUAAUUUGCUACUUCAGAAGGGAGGAUUACUGUCACGAUAGUUUUGUUACUGAUAACUUCCUAUGCCUACGCCAUGCACUUAGCCUGCUUGGGCUUAUUCAAAAUCAAUCAAUUAAUGUGUGAAGUAUUAUAAUUUAUAUAAUAAGAUCCAAUAAAGUAUUGUAUUUUUAUCUAAUGACAUGACGAGUUUGUCUUUCAUAGUUGUCCCAUAUCUUCUCACAAAUGGCAGUACCUUCUAUCUUUGAUAUUAACUAAUUUGGUAUGGAUAGUCUACUGCAAUCCUUACUAUUGUCUGCAACACAAAUACUCAAAACACACGACGCAUUAUUUUCUUUUCGGUUUUUCUUGUUUUUUUUUCCUUUGUCAUUUUACCAAAUUCUUGUUCACUCUCUUUACAUCACCGAAGAAUCAACAUCAGGAAAGCACGACCAAGGCGCAUGCUGAGUUCGUGAGAGAAAUAGAUAGAGAUAGAAUUUGCGCUUGGUCCGCAAAGGAGAUGACCGAGCACAAGUGUAGAAUCCGUGAGCUGUCGGUGGCGACGUUGACGGAGGUGAGUUGUGGCUGGUCAUGGUGGUGGCGGGUGAGCGUGGCGACGGUGGGGGCAAGCAGAUCUGUCUCUCAGCCCUUCAGCGCAUGGUGAGAAGGUGCGAGAGAAGAUGCAGACCCUCUCGCGGUGCACAAUUUUUGGGGGGAGAGAGAGAGAGAGCCCAAACAUAAAGAAAAGCAAGAUGACACGUGUCGGCCAGCCCUGCGUGUCGUAGACAAUGGGUGCAUAGCUGGCCGCAAACAUCCAUACUCACGCUUCCUUUUAUACUUUGUAGUAGGGCAACUUAAAUUUGCAGGAAUCUUUAUUACGUAAUUAUAGUAGAGCAAUCGUGUCUAAUCAACUAGAAGGCUCCAAGCAAUUUUUGUUGUACAAAACCGCCAUGCGUUUUCCUUAAUUGGACCACUGCUUGUCAUUACUUUACUUACUUCUCUUACUAACAAUAACCAAUUUAAUCAACUAUACAUAAACAACCUCAAUUUCAAUUAAAUGUCAUUAGUUGUUGUUGUGAUGAUCUAAAUUAUCAACUUCAUAUUCAUAAAUACUAGAUUACAUAAUGCUUUAGAACAUUUUCUAAGUCAGAUUUCUAGGUGUUAAAGGUUUAUUAUACAAAUCAUUUAAUUAUUUUUCUUGUGAAUGUUAUAGUCUACCAUACAAAAUCAUACCUUGAAAUUAUGCUUCAACCAGGUAUUCGCUUGAAAAACAUUUCCUUUUAAGCACUAAUUAAGACCAUGAAUUUGACCAUAGUGAAGGAAUAAAAAACAUGAGAUAGUUUAGAAAUGAGCAAAAGAAAAAAAACUCAAUUACGUGAAUUCAUUAAUAAUUUUAAGCCCAAUUGUGAUUAAACAAAUCAGGAAAAUGACAAUGAUUUUUCACGGCUUCACAUAGAAUUUGUGAGUUAUUUUUCAGUAAAUUAUAAUGAUCAAGUUUCCACUCCAUUUUGGACCAAACCUAUGUACAUUCCCUUGAUUUACUUCAAAAUCAUACUUAAGUUCACGAAAAAUAAAAUGCUAUCAAUCAUUUCUGUUAAUGAAAUUUGUCAACAACACUAACAUUGGAACUUGAUUUUCAUUAGUUUUCAAAAUGUGAGGACUAUUCCAAAUAAUAUAUUUAGGGCUCAAUUGACUCGUGACUAAAAAGUUGAGACUCCUAUGACACUUUCUCUCUAAACAUAUUUAGGGCUCAAUUGCUUGUUACAUGUGAUUUUUUAAGAUAAAGUUGCAAUUCUUGUGUAUCUUUCUUAAAUCGUCCUUUGGCCUUUGAGUGCACUAAAACGAGUUGAAAACUUCCAAAAUAAAUGAAGAAAAAUGAGGAAAAAGAUGCGAUGAUCUUAACAGAGAUUAAGACAUAAAUUACUAAUAAUACGGUUGACUUCAUAGAAAAAGCAAAACCUCUAGUGGGCUUUCAAAUAUAUCAUAAGAAUAUAAAACAAUCAUAGAAAAGGCUAAUUUUUUUUUUAUUCCAUUAUGCAGAUAGCCUCCCUAGUCAACUAUUUUAAACAAAUCUUGGAAGUGAAUGUGUACCACUUUAAAUCUUCAUAGGGGAUUUUGUGUUGUUUUUCCUAAAAUUACUCAGAUCCUAUCACAAACUAAAUUUAAAUGGAUUUCAUUCUAUUAGUUGGACUUUCUCCACAAUGAAGUGAAACAAAAGAUUGCUUUAUCUAAUUGCAGAGAAGGCAUGAUUGGAUAAGGUAUUUAGGAAGAAAAUGAACUGAAAAUUAAAAAAAAGAAAAAGAACAAGGAUUAAAAUCUAAGUUACAUCUAAAUAGCAAAUGAGCAAAAGAUUAAUAAAUAGUAUAUUCCUUUAAUAGAAAGUUACCUGUUGCUCGUUGAAGAAUGCAACUAGAGUGCCAACUUGGUCAUUUGAUGUACUUGAAGGAGCUGUCCUAGUGGUGAAAAAGUUUUUGGUAUUUGGCAAGUCACGCAACUCCAAUACAUGCAAAUUACGAAACUCAACUUUGCCACAAUCAUCAACUUCCACGAUCUCCCGCACUAAGUUGCACUUGACAGCUCGAACCUCUUCAAGCUGUGGAAGUUUUCUCAAUAAUGAACUAGGAAACAAAAUUUCCAUCUUGUCACAACUUUCAACUCUUAUCACUUUUAAUGCACUAAAGGACUUGGAGGAAAUAGAGUAGUUGCAUAUCUUCUCUAAGUUGAUGAGAUUCUUGAGAAGUAAUGACUCCAAUGUCUUAAAAUCUGUAUGGGACGGCGAUUGGAGGACAUAAUGGAUGGAGGGACUAUUCUCGACGUGCAAAUGCUUUAAUUUUGGAAAGCCUUCUUGGGAUAACUUGCAAAUACUUUGCUCAAUUCCGUUUGAUCCAUCUAAAAAUAGAUCACUUGUUUUGCCUAAGAAAGUCUGGAUGAAUCCUUUCUCAAGAAUAUUGCUUAUUGGAUCCAACUUAACUUGUAAUGUGCUCGAGCCUUUGUGAUUUGGCCACUCUCGUGCAUCACCUAUCUGGAUUUUGUACUUGGUUAAUUUCUCAACGUUUAGAUCCUCAAGGAGCCUAUUUGGAUCGAGAAUGGACACAUGCAAAGUGCAGAGAUUCUUCAAGUUAUUCAACUCAAUAAGCUUAGCAUUAGUUGGCGGAGUUUGCUCCAUAGCAUUCCAUCGAUCAAAGCUAUUCUCUAUAUACAACUCCUCCAAUUUCAUCAAGCUUCCAAGCACACCCGGUUCAAUUAUCUCAAGUCGUGAGCAAUGGUUUAAGUCUAACAACCUUAGCUCUACCAAUUGUCCAAUUUCUUUUGGCAAUCGUUGAAUUUUAGAGUUCACAAAGCUGAGAAUAUGUAGGCCUUUUAGCUUGCCAAUCAUGGCUACAUCGUCUAACGAACAACUAUCGAGACACAAAGUGUGUAAAUUCUCCAAGAACUGAAACGGCGAAGGUGAAUGAGUGAGACAUACCUGAGAAAGAUGUAAGACCAUGAGUUUUUUCAUAGAGUUGAAAUAUGAAUUUGGGACCUUAAGAGAUUCAUUGUUUGUGAACAAUAAAAAGAUCCGCAUUUCAGGGCAAUCUAACUCUUUGGGAAGCUCCUUCAUGUUAACAUAGGCAAAGCAUAUUGCCGUACAACUUUUGAGCUUGUCCUUUGGCAGUUCUAACACUGACUUAUCAUUAUCUUUCAACACAAGAAGAGGGUCAUCUCUCGAAGCGACCGAGGCAACAAAUCCACGAACCAAGUCAUGUAUCUUGAAACCAUCAACAUCUUCAUCGUCUUUUAACAAAAGAGAGGAGGCUUUCAGGGUUUGGACAAGUGAGCUCAUCCUAUCUCUAACUUCUUCCAUGCUAGUAUCUUCUUGAAAUAACCUUGAACCCACACUGUACCUCACCAAGUUUUCAAGAGAGGGUUUAGGCACACCAUAAACAACACAAAGUCGUAAUAGCAACUUCACCUCCUUGCCAUCCUCCCCUUUGAAACGAUCAUAACUCAACUGCAGCAUCUCAUUUAUCCUCUCACUAAUUCCUCUGUUUGUAGACUUCUCGAUUUGUCUCAAAACAUCCUUCCAUUCAGGAAAAUUGGCGUCCUUAAAAAUAUUCGCCAUUGCAAUUAUGAGGAAAGCCAAACCUGCACAUCUGUGGACUGCUUCAUCCACCAAGGAUUUGAACGGGUCAUCAUGGACUUUGUUUCCCACCGUCCUCUCAAACAAUCUUUUUGCCUCUUCAUCCUUCAGCUCUUCAAGGCAGAAGUCCCUGUCGCAGCCCAUUUCCCUUCGCAAAAUAUGUUGAAAUCUUGACGUCAGCAACAACUUGCAUCCUAUGACUUUGUUGUCAUGUCCGCAAGGAAUGCCCACUGAUUUCAAGUCCAGCCCCUUCCAUAGGUUGUCCAGUAUUAUGAGGACCUUCUUUUUUGCCUUCUCUUCAUUUUCCAACAUCUUGUGCUCGUCAUUUUCCAACCUCUUGUGCAAAAGCCCCGCUCGCCCGCUGAUAGUCUCUUUGUUCUUUAUCUCAGUAAGGCCCAAGCCGUCCGCAAUCUCUCCUUGAAUCCUCUUGAUGUCUUCAUUUUCCGACACAUCGGCCUUAGCAACCCAAUCAAAUGACUUCUCUUUCCUUAUUCUCCUUUCCACUUCCCCCAAUAGGGUGGACUUGCCGACCCCGCCCAUCCCAUAAAUCCCGACCACGCUAUGGUUGUUAUCAGCAAGAGCGGCCAUGAUGUCCCGAAUGAUAGAAGCUCUAGAUUCGAAGACAUCAUUGUCCCUAACCUUAUUCGAUGUCGAGGCGAAAGAAGCAGAGGCCGUCACAGUGGCCAACUGGACGACAUCUUUGCUCUCUCUCUUGGACGGAGUCAGAGCAGCAACGUUCCCUGGAGCAGGAUUGCUGGAGGAGAUGUCGUUCAGUUCCUUGAAUUCCCUGCAUUUUUGAGUGAGUCGCUGAAUGACCUCAAUCUUGUCCUUGGCCUUCCUACUGAAUUGAUAGCGACACUUGGGGUCAGGAAGAGUCCCAUAGCAGCAAGUCUUGCUCGCCUCUUGGAAGUCGCGCAACAGGUCUCGCGCCUCCUUCAAGGCCUUCUCAGCACUUGCAUGCCACUCCGUGACGCGACCGUAGACAUUCCGAAGAUUGUUUCUGGCCUCUUCAGCGACAUUGUGGACCCUAUCAACCUCAUUCGCAAGCUCCUCGACUUCCUCCUGAAGAUCUUGGGCGUGCCUCUUCGAGUAGAUCACGUAUCCGAAUUGACGCUUGGUGGGAGCAACUACGGACUUCAAGACAUCCCACCCAAUAGAAAUAACAGUAUCAAUCGACAUCUUCCUUUGAUAUUUUUUCCGGGAAAGAAAGAGCGAGAAAACAGAGAGAGGAGAGAGAGAAUGACAAAAAAAAAGGCAGCAGAUGAGUGAAGAAGAAUGGUUAUGCGGAGGAGAAAGAGCGAAACAGAGUAAGAAGGAUGAGAGAUGAAGAAGGCGAAGAUAUUUGAGUACUGAAAAGGAUGAGGGAUCAUCGGCUGAGAUUCAGUACCGGAGAUUUAACGAUUUGAAAUAAAAGAAAUUCCGCCGUCGGUCGCCCCUAUCAAGCCACCAAUGUGGACUUGCAAAGAUUGUUCCUUUCCUCCUCUGCGAAUAGACAGAUAUCUAAUUAAUGUGGACCAAUAGGUGAAAACAUGUCUUGACUUUUUAUGAAUUAUCUAUCCCAAACCGAUUAAGCUCAGGCCUUGACCUGUGUAGGUAGCUCUAACCUAAAUCAACUUGCACGCAACUUGUGAGAUUGAAACGGGCGAUUUUCAGUUCCGAACAGAAAAUCUCGCAAUGCCUUAACCAAUUGAACAAAUCUUGCAAGCAUAACAUUUUAUUAUAACGAGCAAGUGUAUUUUGCAUUCUGUUUCAUUUCUUAAGAAAUAUGAUAAUGUCUACAUAAAAUUAUCGUACUAUUGACAUUCACUAAUUGAAUGAUAGAGAGGCUAAAUAAGCAUAAUGUUAAAGUAAUAGUAUCAUAUGAUAGAUAUUCAUGAUAUGACCUCAGGAUAUAGAAUGUUAGCUGGCUAAAAUUAUAUGCGUUUAUUAGUCCCAGAGGCAAACAUGCCCAUCAAAAUUGUUAGGUUGGAAAGGGAAAUUUACUACCAAUGCGGUAGAUGCAGUAUGACCGUUUGAAACUAUUUUGACUAAGUAUAAACAAUUAAAGUCAUGAGGCACAUAUUCCUCGUAAUUACGUUGAGUAUAACAUUUAUCUAGUUAACAAGAAACUAAUGCGUAUAAAAUAUUAUUAUAUAUGAAUAAUCUAUCCAGUGAGUAGUGCAUAAUAUUAGCUUAGGUGGUCGCCACAUUUUUUUGUUGGAGAAUGUAGCAAAUCCAAUUCUUGGAAUUAGGAGAAGACCUCUCUGCUUAUCUAGAAUGCUAUGUGUCAAUGUUAGAUGCAGCCCUUAGGGAGGAAAUUGACAUGAUUAUAAAUAUAGAUUCUCCAAUUAAUUUUUGUACGUGAAGUUAGUGCAUAUAUAUCUUUCGUAUAAAAAAGUACAAUUUCUCAAAAAGAAAAAGCACACCCAAACAAAGACAAUUAUAAUAUAAUCAAAUUCAGAGUCUUCUUCGCAAAGACUGAUAUUAUUUAGUCAUAUAGAUUUCAACGUGAAGUUAGUACAUAAUUUUGUGUCAACAAGUUUAAUUUCUCAAAAAGAAAAUUUACACCCAAAAAACACAAUGAUAAACACUAUCAAACCGAGACUCCCUUUCCACACACAGAGAUACUGUAGGUGAGAAUGGAAAAAUGGAGAAGUUGCUGCCUCUUUUUGCCCGAUAAUCGACAACCAUUAUGAGAUCGUUAGAUGCGCAGCUACCCUUUUCGCACGAUAAAAAGUUCGUCUCAUUUUUCCGGACAGCUUUACGGCAAAGAUGGGGGAGGGCUUCACGGCAAGAAGAAUUCUUUAGUUGACCGUGUAUAUGUGUGGCCUGCAGAGGAAAGUCGGUGAGUGGAGGUGGGCGUCCGUGAAUGGGGGAGGGGAUGAGCGGCUUCGGUGGCGUCGAUUCAAAGGGAGAGCAGCGGUCUUCGGCAGAAACAAAAUAGAAGAAAAGAAAGGCAGCAGCUGAGAGAGAUAAAUGAAAGCGAAGCAGCACCGUGAAGAAGGAGGAAAAAGGAACGACGUGGACGAAGCUGCACCGAAUGAAAUGAAAAAGGAAGAGGCGUCUGUGGAGAGCAGCUGGAUGGAUCGGCUAAGGAGAUUAGAACAAAAGGAAUUGGUCAAAGAUAAAUAUCUAGGCAUUAAAACCUUGUCCCCAUAUUCCUUUCUAGCAAAUAUAAUCCAUAAAAUAACCAACUUGAUGCCAAAAAUCAGCCCUCAAGCCAAAGCUCGGAAUUUCACAUUUUUGGCACUCAACUUCGGCUUCAAUUUCUUUUCCGAUUCCUCCAAUUCGAAGUCUCAUUACGUUGAAGAAAAAGUCCACAAAAUUUCUAUAAGUUCCCAACGUCCAAUAGCUCGGCCUAGAAGUCGAAAUUCCCUUCACAUGAGCUAAACCGAAUUUUCGUUCAUUUUUCGAAUCGAUUUUCCGUAAAAAUCCCGGAAUCUCCGAAAAAAUUUUCGAAUCGACCUAUCUCCGGUUUCUGAUCGAUUUUGUCAAUACCAUAAUGACCCUUGCAGAUUAGCACGGUCGAGCAGCCGAUUCCUAAUCAAAUUCUCAUCGCUCCUUAACGGCUUCACCUGAUAGGCUAGUUAACUCGUGAGUAGCCAACUCAGAGAAAAAUGCUAUAGACACGUCGAUGAAAAACCCAACUCGUUUCAUCGAAAUCAGACUCGAAAAUCAGGAUGUCAAACUCAUAAUGUGGGAAAUUGAUCCUUUUCUGGCAUCAUUUUUUCAGACUCAAAGUUUCGCAAUGGAAAGUGCAUAUGGACACACUGAUACCACAUGGCCCUUGGUGUCAGAUGCCGUUUUAUUAGCGGUGACUUGAAGUCCUUUCUUAACACUCUUCAUCAGCACUGUAUAUUAUUGGUGGGACAUUUCAAUGGUCUUUUUGUAAGAACAGGAAGCAUUUCUAUUCUACUGAGGGUCCUAACUCUAAGAUUUUAUGGGAAUAAAGGGUCUACUACAAUGCCUUUUUUUUUUUCUCUAUCGGGCUGAUAAAGAGAUAUAGUGUUAGAGUCUUUAUACGUGAGGACUACUUUUCUUUUUGUGGUGAGCCUGACGAAGAGCGAGUAAAACAGAGACAGAGAGGAAUGAUGAAACGGAUGCCGAAGAAGAAGAGAAGCAGGAAGAAGGUUGCGCCCAAAAAAGGAUGAGGGAUCAACGGCUAAGAUUUAGUACCAGCAAUCUAACGAUUUCGAAUCUUAAGAAUGACCGAAAUGUUGAGGUAGAAUGAGGAGAUGGGUAUGGAUGGAGAUAGACUUAGGAAGUUGAAUGGUAGCAGACUGCUCCAUGUCGUCGCUAGCCAAGAUAAAAUCAAUAGCAUGCUUAUUAAUAAUCGCGUCAUAGAAAUGGAUGACCCAUAAAAAUGGUAUAAUGUUCUAUUAUUGCCAUAUUAGACUUGAGCUGAAUUAAAUCAUUAUAAAAAAAGAUAUUGAUCCUAAGUUGAAAAUUAUUUUGACUUUUUAUGUAGGGUUAAUACUACGAAAAACUCCAAACUUGUACACUUAUGAAAAAUUUAUCUCAAACUAAUUUUUUGACUACAAAAAACCACAAAUUAAUACACAUGUAACAAAUUUACCCCAAAUUAAUUUUUGACCACAAAAAAUUCCAAACUAAUAUACCUGUGAGAAAUUUAUACCAAAUGAACAUUAAAAAAAAAAUUCUAAAUCGGUAUACUUGUGACAAAUCUACCAAAAACUAAUUUUUUUUAACUGUCAAAAAUCUCAAACUAGUACAUUUAUAAUAAAUAUACCCUUCGUUAAAUUGAAUUAAUACCACCAAAAAUUAAAAAACUGGUACAACUGUCAAAAUCUCAAAUUGGUGAAUUAAUCAAGUAUCACAUGUCAUUUAACUCAACAAUUUAAUAAUAAAAUUUAACGAAAACGAAUAAAUAGUAAAUUUGUCACAAAUAUACCAGUUUUGAGGAAAUUUGUCAAAUGUACACUCGUUUGGAGUUUUUUUUUUAUGUAUUAGUCCUGAUCCAUCCUUUUAUCUCGUUCCACUGCAAAUGGUCCUUUAAUUCCGAUUCUAGUUAUCACAAAUGCUUGGAUUUGUUUGGGUUUUUUCACUUGUAACAUCUAUUAUCCUAAUAUUACAUUUACCACAAAUUGAUUUUCAAAGCCUUCAAAACUAUACAUUUAUUGACAAGUGGAGUUAUUUGCUUUUCAUAAUUUAUAAAAUCAAACUAUUUCCAUUUUCAAAUUUUUUUAGCAAAAGCUAAAUGCAGAAAAUGAUACUUAAAAAAUGUAAACAAAAAGAACGAGUAAACUAUAGAGGUCAACAAAAAUGAUGAUGAAAUGUCGUAUAUAGUCUUUUUGGAAUCGCUCUUGCAUAUUCCUAAUUCAUGACAAUCAUCCUGGACAAUGUUAUCAAAAUGAAUAUAGAUGUAUGGAAAAAAAAAUGACUAAGAAAAUACAUGGACAAUAAAAGACAUCUUAAGUGGAGUGUCACUGUGCCACAUGGAUUGCUAGCUUGAUAAUUAAUCUGCAGCUUGCUGCCAUCCAUAUAACUACUAUGCGCAAGUUAUCCCAAAAAAUCAUAUCUUAAUCCAACGUAGCAUAAUACAAUUUGAUAAAAUGAUGAAGUCAACUUAACUUCCGAACCCUUUUUUCCUUGUUUUUCAUAAGUUAUAUCUUUGGCCUAACGUUAAAACCCAUUAUGCUUCUCUUCGUUACUUGUAUAAGAGAAUGUGGAUGAACUUGAGAUCUGAUCCGACUAGUAUUGAUCGGACCAUUCUAUUAGGGCAUUACCGUACAUAAAGACGGCACACAUGCAGCUCCUCUAAUUAGUGCAUUAACACUUUGUUCUACUUAAACCAAACAAAAGGCAUUAGAUGUAAGUACCAACGCUUCCAUCUCAUGCACAACUUUCUCCUCCUCCGCUAUCUCCUCUGCUAUUUAUAGUCCCAGGCUUGAUGUCUUCUUCGCCGGCUUGCUCUACUGGAAUGGCGGGCGCCUGCACAACUACCUCACUCCUUUUUCUCAAGCUCAGCCAUGAUUGAUAGAUCAGAAUGUCAAAUUACUCCUGAAUCCGUAUAUUUGUUAUGACUAAUUUCUAACAAAGAAAAUGUGAUCGCGAAUUGAAGUUAUGAGGAAUGUUCUCUUUCUAAUUGAAGUUGACAAGGAUCUUAUGCCUUAUAACUACCUAGUUUUAUGAGGAAUAAGUGCAUAUGAACAAAUUUUUAUGUGAAAUUAUCAUUCUCCGAAAGUAAGUACUUUAGUUUUUGUAAUAUAGGGGCAUGAACGUGUAGAAUUGUCAGGCUAGAAUCUUAUAAAACAUCCCGUAAGUCCUGUAAACUAGUCAAACUCAGGCCUUCGACCUAUAUAGGCUACUCUAACCUAGAGCUAUUUGAAUAUAUUUGUAAAAUUCAAACUGACAACCUCUAAUUCCUAAGCUGGAAAUCCCCAAUACCCCAGUUAAUUGCGCCAAUCCUAGAGUUAAGUGAGCAUAAUUUUUUUAUGUUAAAGAGCAAGUGUAUUUUGCACUAUGAAUCAUUUCCGAAGAAAAUGAAAACGUUAACAUAAAUCCAUCAUUUUCUAGCCAAAAUUAUCCAUGUUAGCACCAGCAAUCCUACAUGGCACUACUAGCGUCCACGUCAUCCUUUCCGACCAAAAUUGGCCGAAUAGACUCAAUUGGUAAGAAGUGAAAAUGUUUAGAACUGAAUUGACAAAGUUAAAAGGUUUAGGACUGAAUUGAUAAAAGUACAAUAGGUUUACGACUUUUUGGACAAUUUUCCCGUUUAAAAUAUUAUCAAGUACUUCACAUUAUCUCCUCUAAUUUAAGUGACAAAGUCCAACGUGAUCUUUUCAAAUAUAUAUUUUUUUAUAACAGCUGAAAUUGAUGGUGCACCUAACUUUUUUUUUUUUUUUAAUGUAAGAUUUUAAAGCUCUCAUGUUGUGGUCUUUCCCCUAGCUCCCAUGGGAUAGUGGCACACCGAUCAGUACAAGGACCUAGGACCAAAGCAUCGCGUGAUUGACCCUUAUCGGUGGUCAUGAGCAGUGUGCCAUCAUAUUUUGCUAAUAUGGGGCUCACUUGACGAUAUAUUUCCCGAAAGUAGUUAAAAGUGGCGGCAUCAAUAGGUUAUACUAUUAAUCAUAAUUUAAAAAACUAACUAAGUUACUUGGUUGUGCCUGCUAGAUAAAAUUUAGAAUUUGAUUGUGUUGACACCUAAAUUUUGGUGAUCCAUUUAGUCAUUUAUUACAUAAAAAAUUAGGGGUUAAUUUUAUCCCUGAAAAAAAAAUAUUAAUUGCAUAGCUACAUUUAGUUUGCAUUUUAUUUACUGGACCGGUGGCGGAUGGGUCGAAUUGGUGUUUUUGAAUUUUAAAUUAAUAGGCCGGGCUAGGCCCAUGAAAGGAUAAAAUUAACCCAAGCCCGUCGUUAUCUUUAAUUGAUUAUUUUGCGAAAAAAUUAAGAUUUGAUGCGAUAUUGUGGUUUUUGAAAAUUAAAAAAAAUCAUAUUGUAAUCUUAUUUUUUAUCAAUAGAUGAUGAAAUCGGGGGAAGAAUAUUUUUGAGAUAAGGAUUUUCGUGAUCAAGAGGUUAUAAGCAAUAUUCAGGAGAUGAAAAUAUUUAAAAAAAGAUCCUGUUUUGCAUCGCCUAUAAAAGGAUAAGUACGGAUCAAUCUAGGGGGUUCUCUGGCUAGGUUUUUUUUUUUUUUUUUUUUCUCUUCGUCGAAGUAAAAUGGAGACUUUCUUCCUCGUCCAUCUUCAGCAAAGAGAGAGAGAGAUUUUUUUCUUUUUUCCUGACAACUGCAGGGAGAAGGAAAAGUAGAGUGACGUGAGAGAGAACUAGUGAAAAAGAGAAAAAGCAGCGUAAAGGCAAAAAAAGAAAAAGGUAGGGGUGAUUUGACCCUCACUGUUCAUUGUCUUCCUUGCUGCGUUCAUGUUGCUGCUCCAUCCUCGACGAACCGAAGCCCUGACGCUCCACCCUUCACGAGCAGGCCCGAGCCGUGCCACAGCCAAGCCGUCUUCCCCGCGCCGACGUAGCCGCCGAUCUCCAUCCGCGAGCCCCGACGACCGCACCCCUCGUUGACGCCCGCCACCUCGCCGCGCCUCCUUCGCGAACAACUUGCUCGCUGCCAUCACCGCCCGUCGCUCCACCCGAGGCGAGGCAACAACCAAGUCCCUCUCUUUGCAACGCCGGUAGUCCGCGACCCACCUCGACCGCACCCUCCGGCCCGCCAAAGCUCUGCCACGGCUGGACCCGAACCAGAUUUGCCCAAGCCUGCCGUGCCCAUACCGCCGAGCACCGACGCCGAUCCACCCAACGCCGGCCGUGCCCGUCCGGACCCGAGCUUCCCUAGCUCCGCUCCGGUGUUUUUGCCGCCGCCGGUUCACCUUGGCCGGAGCCUCCUUUGCCGAGCCGAUUCGCCGGUUCCCCCCUUGGAGAUCCACGAGCGGUGCCUGGAAAAGAAGAAAAAAAAACAUAAAAAACAAAAGCAAAAAGGAAAAGAAAACCUGAUUAGGUAGUUUUUCUUUUUCAUUUAUUUUACUUUAUUUUGUUUAUAUUCUUUAGUUUAGUUAUUUAAUUGGAUCCCAAUGUUUACUUUAUGAAUCUUGUAGGCAUUAUCCACAAGAGUUAUCCCUAAACUUAUUGUAAUUAUUAAUUUGACCCGUAAGAUGUCGGAUUAUUUUUUUAAUUACAUUAAUUUUUGGGAUUUGUUGAUAGUUUUUAAGUACUGAAUCAAUAUAAUUAUUAAUUUGAUCCGUAAGAAUUCGGAUCAGAUUUUUAGUUAUUUUGAACUCUUUGUUGUGAUAAUUAGGGUUAGGAUAAUCGUUAAUUUGACCUGUGAGACAACAGGUUAUUUUUUCGAUUAUUUUGAUCAUUUAUUUGAUUGAAUAUCUUGAUUGUUUAGAUUUAAUGUUUAGUUGAAAAGCCACUAAAAAAAUCUAAAAAAUAUUUGAAUUAGGAUUCAGUUUGUUUUGGAAUAUUUCUUGUUAUCUUGCAUAUCUUGAAUAGGGAUUUUAUUCCGAAUUUAGGAAAAUAUAACAAAAAACAAAAACACAAAAAAAAAUCAUCAUGCAUAUAUCAUGUUAAACUAAGGCAUUCUUUGCAUGUCAUUGCAUAUUAGAUAAAUUACAUGUUAGAUUAAGAUAAUAUCUUAGUUUAAAUUAGGAUUUAAUGUGACUUGAUCCUUAGUUUAAAUUAGAUAGAAUUUUAAUCUAGUUAGAUCAUUUUUGCAUAGAAAUAUCAAAUGCACAUUAUUUAGUUUUUAUUAGGUACAUUUAAUUAGAACUUCAUCGUCAUUAGACUAAGUCAUUUAAUAAAUGUCGCAUGACAUAUAACUCGCGUACUAAAUUGUAUGCUGCAUGUCAUCUUAGUUUAAAUAAUUUUGUAUGUCAUUGCAUCGCAUUGCAUGUCAUUAGAAUUAUGUCAUUUAGAUUGCCUUUAAUUAUUGCAUUUCUUCAUGUCAUACAGUUUAGGUCAUGCUGCCAUGUCAUAUUAGAUUAUUAGCAUGCAUCGUAUGAUUUUCAUUAAAUAAAGUGAAAACAAAAAAUUGAAAUUGCGUGUUAAUUAGAAAUCAUAUUUAGGGCUGUUGAUGUGAGUUCUGACUUAACAAUGCAGAUGCUUUCGUUGCUUCUAGGUAUGUUUUGCAAUAUUUAAUUGCUUUCUUGAGUGUUAAAUGGGUGGUAUACGCACACGUAUGAUCACCUCACAUGUUAGGAAGUUAAAUUAAAAUCAAUUCAAUUGCCAAACAUUUUUUUUAAAAUGAAAUAAAAAUGUACCAAAAGGGCACUAGGAUAGUCUGGUGUAACCAAGUCCCCGAACUCAUGAAUUUCUAGUUCGUAGGAGUAAAGUAAAUCUCCCAUUACUUUACUUGGGUUUCUAAUCGACCCACCAAAAUAAAUUAGUGGCGACUCCCGAUUGAAAAUCAUUUGCAUGUUAAGAAUUCAAACCUAAGUCGCGAAUUGGUAUGGGCUUGGGAGAGCCCGAGCUAAGCUUAAAGACUUAGUAAUCCAUUAACCUAGUUUUAGGUGGUGAACCCGCGAAAAUCAGGUUGCGACAGAUUGCAUUUUCAUUAGAAGUUUUCAAAGUUUCGAGUGCAUUUAUCUCUAUUCUAUAUAGAAGCAUUUCUUGUAUGAACAUAAAAAUCAUGAACGAUAAACUUGUAUAUAGAAAUGUGUAUAUAUAGUUAUAUGUCAUGUGUUUAAAAGAUAUAUAGUCCAAUUUACUUAGUCGAUUCUCCUAGACUUUUUUUAGUAUUUUAUCAAGUAGUUAGAUUUGCAUGUGCAAUAUAUCUAAAUUUAUGUUUAGUUAACAUUUAUUCCAUAAAUUUUCAACGAUUAAGUUUAUAUGUAUCAUAUAAGUACGUAAUAACUUAAUUUAUUAACUAUCACAAAACUAUUUUUUAAAUGUUCAAAAACUAUAUAAUAGCUAAAAUAGUAGAGGAAUACGUAGUAGGAGAGCACAUGAGUUGUUGUAUAUUAUAUUAUGCUUUUUCUUUUCUUUUCUUUUUUUCAUGCCACACGUCUUCUCAAAGCAGCGUCUCCACUCUCCAGGCAAGUGUAUAGAGAUGAGUGCAGCAAAGUGGAGACGGCGGGAGGACGGUUGAGUCGGGCUUAGUACGGCCCAGAUCAUUUCGUGCCAGCUCCUUUUGUAUUUUUUUGUUAAUUUUUUGGGGCCUAGUUGAAAUUUUCUUUCAAUCGUUAAUCUUUGAAAAAAAUAAAAUAAUAAUUCUAAAGUGGAGACUCUCGUCGUCGAGGGAGAAGAGAAAGACUUCUUAUUCGGUCCAAAGAUGAAAGUGCUUAGGAGCUGAGAGGAAAAUGCUCUUGUAUUGUCUCGUCAGAUUCUAAUGUCCAUAGGAGAAAGGCUCUCCAAAAGCGACGUCGAUCCAACACUCGCAAUUUCUGCCAAAAGAUUCCCCACAAAUUGACAAUGCCAGUGAGCCCGAUCGUUCCAAAUUUAGGCCUUUUGUCGACGGCCCAAAAAGCCCCAAAUCCAAACUCCAAUCGGCGUUCGACCUUCAUGCCGAAGAUCCGAGCAGCCUUGUUUCAUGCCGAGGUCGCCAAAACUCGUAAUCCUCCAAUUCUGCUGCUUCCGGCUGACCCUUCGUCAUGAAUUGGUGUUUCGUCGAGAAGUAUGGCACUUUGGGAUUGGUUGUGCGAGCAUGAGAGAAGGAAGAUUUGGAGCGCUUGCAACUUCCUCUGAAGGUGGAGAAAGAAGACAAGCUUCGGACUCCAUUCACCGUGCUUUUGUCCCCCUAAAUCUAUUUUUCAAUCCUUGAGUUUUUGUUUUUUAUCGCUUGUAUUUAUUGUUAUUCUGCUUUGGUUUCUUAGACAUUCAUGCACUUAAGGAAUGGCCAUUUGGAGAGUGAGACACUUCGGAUUGUUACUUGUCCACAGUCGGUAGAUAAUCAAUUUUCGAGAUGAUAGAUAACGUGCACUUUCUUUCAUAGUUCAGUAGGACAAUAUUGUUUCCUCCAAUUCUUGAUUUCUUAAUAGCCUUCGAUCAGCUUAGUUAUUUUCUUUAAUCAUCUCUUCUCUUACUUUGUAAUGGAUGGUAAUUAAGAGACGUUGUUAUGGGAUGCAGAGUAUGGGACGACUACAGGAGUAUCGGUGCUUGAUAGGGCAACGACAGCUUUGGCUCUUGCGUCUAGAGAUUCCAAAACCCGAAGAUUUCGACACGCCGGGACAUAUUUUCCCAUUGGAGUAUAGGGAGGGUGGUGUCCUGGAAUGAGCUGCGCAUACGGAGGCUUUUGUCGACCUUGCUGUGUUAGCUUGAUUGGAACCUGUGGCAGUUCUUUGCGAGGCAGUGGGUGAUGGUGGCCCUGUGGCAAGAUUACCUAAGCUUCGUGAGUUUGCACAGCAGGAGAACUUGAAAAAUUGCAUCUAUUGCUGAUCUAAUAAGGUUAGUAUUCUCUGACCGUCUGAAUGAACUUGUGAAUCCUCUCUUCCGAGCGAAAUAUGACACUGUUCACCAGAAUACUCCUUCGAUCAUUCUCGAAGUUCUAGCCAUUGGUUGGGCGUCAAAUUUGGAGGACAGGUCCCUCUGACCUUCCUCUUGAUACCCACCGAAGGAAUUCCAGUGGGUCGACCUACAACUCGAGAUCUCACCUUCUUUAGGUGUGCUCGCGAGUUCAGGCCUGUGUUCUGGUGUUUCGGUUGCUGAGGGAGUUCCUGUGGUUGUAUUAAGCUCAAAUUUGGAGGGUGAGGUCGUCUUGCAUCCCUUUCCAUCCCCACCGAACCGUUUUGCAGCAGGUGGCCUACAAGUCCGGAUCUAGCCAUUUCAGCCUCUUGGGUUCUGCUACUGCGCGACUUCAGGAGUUUGCGGUGUUUAAAUUUUUCUUGCUGGGCCAAUCGUUCUCGCCCGCUCCCGGUCUUCUCACCAUCGCCGGCGGCUUUCCGAGACCGACGUCGCCCGAGCCUCGAGAGAUUGACUCCUCCCCUCACGUUCGCAACCGAAACCGCCCACGCCGCUCCACAAUCUGAGCCUCAAAGACGAUGAGGAGGGAGAGACAGAGGACCAGCGUCGGGGUGGGAAGCAACGAGCGGCGAGGCCCCGGAGCUCCGUUCGUCUACCGCCGGGAGGGAGCUGUUCUUCGGGGAUCUUGGGCGCCAUUGUUUGCUCUUCAAACCCUCUAAGUGCUGCUUGGUACGUGCUCUCCUGUGGGUUUAAUUUGGUUGCGAUGGGUUAGGGUUUUUUUGGUUCGCGGUUCUGUUGUUUCGAGUCUGCUGAAUUGAUGGAGUCCGGACCCUUCUGGGCCCAUUUUGAUGAUGAGGGGCCGAGUAAUUGAAGCCCUUCCCCUCCUGUUCAUCCUGUUCAUGGGCAACCCUCAUUGACUGCUCCUUCUUUGAGCAAACAUGGGCCAAAUCCUUCGUCCCCAUCUGCUGCGAUUGAGAACAAUGACUCGCGACCUCCUCUUGCUCCUAUUAAGGCGCGUGGAAAGAGUAGAGGUAGAUUGACAUCCAAGCGCCCUCAACACUGGGGUGAAUCGGAAAACCUGGUAACUCGGUCUUGGGCUACUGUUGCUAGUGGAGUGCAUAAAGGAUAUGAUCUUGAACAUACUCCUUCGACCUUUGUGAACAAUAAACCAGUUAUACAGAUGACAGAAUCUGAUCUUGAAGCUGCUGAUCCCAAGCUCUUUGAGUGUCUUGUGGGGUAUUUCAUUGGAAAGCGAUUGCCAUUUAAAGUUAUUGAAGAGGCUCUUAAAAAAGCCUGGGGUCCGAAUUUGCUUGAAGUCAUGCCUAAUGGGCAGGGACUGUUUGUUUUGCGCAUACCAGAUAGGGAGUUCCGAAGGAAAAUCCUUGAAGGAGGCCAUAUAACAGUUGCAAGGAUUCCUCUGGUUCUGCAGCAAUGGAGACCAAGUUUGGAACUCAGUAAAAACAUCCAUCGUUCAGUUCCGGUUUGGGUGAGACUUCGAAACUUACCUUUUUCAUUUUGGUCAGCUCAAUCCAUUGGAAAGGUGGCUAGUGCAGUGGGUAAACCACUCUAUGUGGAUCGGCGGACAGAGCAGAUGACAAUGCUAACGUUCGCCAGGGUUUGUGUUGAAAUAACAGCCCAGCAACCAACUCGUGAAUCUAUUGAGGUGCUCUUUGAUGGUAAAUCAGUGGAAGUGGAAGUUGAGUAUGAAUGGAAACCGCUUGCUUGCCCUGUAUGCGGUAUCUUUGGUCACAACUAUAAAACAGCUGCUCCUACAAACUCUGCUGUUCCUUCUGCAGAAGUUAAUCAGGUCUUCAAUGCUAGUGUUGGAAUCCAUCCUGCUCAAGACAAGUCUGUGCACCCUAAUUCCCCUACUUGUCCAGAUGGUCCUGCUCUCUCUCAAAAUUGUCAAAAACAGGCUAUGGUGGACUUACAACUUCCACUUACUACCCUAGGCAUGGACAUGAUCGAUCCUGAGAUUGAUUCUCAGCUGCAACUGGAGGCAACCGCACUUGUUCCUCCUAAGCCUUUGAAGAUCUCUACUUCUAAGGUUUCUACAUCUAAGGAUGGUGGUGAAUUGUUGGCUAUGUCCUCAGCUCCUGCUGCCGAUCCAGAAUGGAAGCAGGUGAAGGGGAAAGGUAGGAAAAAGAAAAAGCAUGCUGAGAAAGAAGCUCCCUCCUCUUCACUUCAGGGUGGAAGCUUGGAUGAAAUAUGCAACUCUAGUACUCAAAUGGAAGUAAAUGAUGAAGAUGUUUUGUCUGUGGGUUCCCCUUCGCCAAAAGGCCCGGCUCCCGGAUGGUGUUAGAAGUAUGCAAGAACAACUCCUCUUGCUUCUUCCUGAUCCACCACCCUCGGUGGCUUCAAAAGCGCCUACCACAGGCCGCAGGCUAGAGAGUAAUCUACCCUCUAUCCUUUUUNNNNNNNNNNNNNNNNNNNNNNNNNNNNNNNNNNNNNNNNNNNNNNNNNNNNNNNNNNNNNNNNNNNNNNNNNNNNNNNNNNNNNNNNNNNNNNNNNNNNNNNNNNNNNNNNNNNNNNNNNNNNNNNNNNNNNNNNNNNNNNNNNNNNNNNNNNNNNNNNNNNNNNNNNNNUUGGGUUGCAAACUAUGAGUAUUUUUCUCGUGGUAGAAUCUGAGUUGGUUGGAACUCGGAUCUUGUUUCUUUUGUGCCCAUCUCUAUCAAUGACCAGGCUGUGCAUGGUAGUCUGAAGCAUAAUAUGUCUGGUGUGAGCUGCUGCAUCUCUGCUAUUUAUGGAGAACAUACUUUUUUGCGUCGUAGACCUUUGUGGGAGGACCUCCUCCACUUUAAUGACUUGAUGCAGGAUUCGGCUUGGCUUGUUGCUGGUGAUUUCAACGCCAUUAAAGACCCAUCCGAUUGAGUUGGAGGUUCCAACGACUGGAUCCCUUAUUUUGAUGAGUUUGCCUAAUGCUUAACACAAACAGAACUGAUGGAUCUCAAAUAUGUUGGCCUCCAUUAUACUUGGUCUACCUCGGCAGGAGACACCAGGAAGAUGAGGAAGAUCAAUCGUGUUUUGGUUAACAACAAAUGGAACCUUCAUUUCUCAUUCUCUGAGGCUUCGUUUUUGAACCCUAGCAUCUCGGACCAUACUCCUAUGAUCGUCAGAGUUCUUCAGCCGGUCCAGAGGAGGAAGCCGUUUAAGUAUUUUGAAUUUUGGGCUGACCACCCGGACUUUAACUCAACUGUUCGCCAGGCUUGGGACUCCUCCAUCAUAGGCGUUCUAAUGUACAUUCUUGUUUCCAAGCUGAAAAUUGUGAAAACUCAACUUAAGUUACUUAACCAAGACGCCUUCUCGGAUAUCUCUGUGAGGGCGGCCGAAGCAAGAGAGGCCCUUCGAAGCACUCAGGUUAGCCUUCAAUCGAACCCUUACAACCUUUCUCUUGCUGAGUUGGAAAAAUCUCAGCGUCGUGUUUUUAUUGAUCUGAGGAAUCAAGAAGAAUCCUUCUUCAGACAAAAGUCGAGAGUGAGAUGGCUAAAAGAAGGUUACAUGAAUACUAAGUUUUUCCACCAUUCGGUGAAGAGGAGGCAGCUUACUAAUAGGAUCCUUUCCGUUAAGGAUCAAUCGGGGGCUAUUAUCACAGAUCCUGUUCUUGUGCCGCAAGUUUUUGUCCGUUUUUUCUCGAAUCUGCUCUCUCAUCAUGAGGCUUUGUCUAAACCUUCGCUUCAGGAGUUGAAAACGUUUGUUCGUCACCCACUUUCUGAUGCUCAGGUGCGGUCCUUGUGUGAACCUGUUUCUCCCUCUGAGAUUAAGAAUACUCUAUUCUCCCUUGCCAAAGGCAAGGCCCCGGGUCCUAAUGGAUUCUCGGUAGAGCUCUACAAGACUAAUUGGGACUUAGUGGGGCCAUUGGUGGUGGAAGCAAUCCAGGAUUUCUUCUCUUCAGGACUGCUCCUAAAGGAGGUAAAUACCACUAUCCUCGCCCUAGUUCCUAAAGUCACUAACGCAAGUGCAGUCACUGAUUUUAGGCCUAUCGCAUGUUGCAAUACCAUUUAUAAAGUCAUUACAAAAAUCCUUGCUAAUCGCAUUGCUGCUGUCUUAAAUGAUUUGAUAAGCCAUUCACAAAAUGCUUUUGUAAAGGGUAGGAGGAUUAGAAAUAAUAUCCUCAUCGCUCAAGAGUUGUUUGCUGGAUUUCACUUAGAGCCUUAUCUGCCCAAAUGUGCUGUUAAAGUUGAUUUCCAUAAGGCCUAUGACACGAUUGAUUGGGAUUUCUUGGAGCUUGCUCUCCGUGCCUUCGGUUUUCCUGAGUGGAUUAUUUCGUUAAUUAUGGUAUGCGUACGUACGCCAAAAUAUUCCAUCUCUAUCAAUGGUGAUUUGCAUGGUUUUUUCCCUACUGGAAGAGGACUUAGGCAAGGUGAUCCUAUGUCACCUUACCUAUUUACCUUAGUCAUGGAAAUUUUCUCUGGAAUCUUGCUCUCAUGUAUUGCUAGCAAUGACUUCAAAUAUUUCUGGAGAUGCAAAUCUGUGCAGCUGACUCACCUCUUUUUCGCCGAUGACGUAUUCCUUUUUUGUCAAGCUGAUUCGGCGUCGGUGACGUUGUUAAAAAAGAGUUUGGACAUUUUCUCCUCUUGGAGCGACCUCUACCCAAAUAAAAACAAAAGUGAGAUCUUCAUCUCAGGAGGGGAUUCAUCUCUUCGUAAUAUGAUGUUACGGGCCUUCGGUUUUCAAGAAGGGAAACUGCCGGUUCGCUAUUUGGGUAUUCCGAUUAUUACUACUAGAUUGGGCAAAGCAGACUGUGUUGCAUUGACUGAUCGUAUUACUGCCAGGGUUCAAUCUUGGGCGCAACGCUUUCUGUCCUUUGCUGGGAGGCUGCAACUUAUAAGGUCAGUACUCCUUUCAAUUCAAACAUAUUGGACUAGUGUCUUCAACCUUCCGUCCUUGGUUAUAGAUAAUAUUGAGCGCAUUUUGAGACAAUUUUUAUGGAAGGGCACGACCCUUGGCCAGGGUGGGGCAAAAGUUUCCUGGGACGAUGUCUGUCUUCCAAAAGUUGAGGGCGGUCUAGGCAUUCGGAAACUUAAAGAUUAUAACAAAGCCUCUAUGCUUAAAUUUAUUUGGAUUCUUUUCACUGAUAAAGAAUCGUUGUGGUGUCGGUGGGUACACUCUAACUUCUUAAAAAGAAGAAACUUUUGGAUUUCUUCCCAACCUCGUUGCUGUUCUUGGGCAUGGAAAAAAAUCCUUCAACUGAGGAAUUACUUUCGCUUAUCCUUUGUGUGGAAGAUUGGAAAUGGCCUAUCAGUGUCUCUUUGGCAUGAUCACUGGCUUUCUUGUGGCCCGCUUGAUGCCUUCAUCCCUUGCUCAUUCCGUGAAGGCUUGUGUUCUGACAAUAAUGUUGUUGCAGAUCUGUUUACCUCUAUGGGUUGUCUAUUUAAAUCCUUUUUGGAAAGAUGGGGGAUCUCUCUCCCGGUCCUCUCUUCGGCUCGUGACAGGUUUACCUGGUUCUAUGACUCUUCUGGAUCAUUCUCUGUAACUUCAGCAUGGAAUUCCAUUAGAGUCAAGAAGGAUCGUGUUGAUUGGGCAUCUUUUGUUUGGGAAAAUGCUGUAGCCCCGCGAUUCCAGUUUAAUUUAUGGCUUAUAACCAAGAAUCGUCUGCCGACCCAGAUGCUGAUUCUUUCUCAUGGUAGGAUCGACUAUAAUGUUUGUGCCUUCUGCAAUGAUGUUCCAGAUUCUGUCGAACAUUUAUUCUUCGGGUGUCGCACCUCGGCUUCUCUGGCCUACUUUUGGGCCGCCAGGUGUAACCUCCCGUGGCAGAAUAGAUGUUGGAAAGAUAUCCUCAGUUGGGCCUUAAAGUUCUUAUCUGGUAAGGACUUCUUCCAUUGCAUUGCGCGGUUCUCGUUUGGAGCUAUGUGUCACCUUAUUUGGAAAAAGAUGAAUGCGAUUAUAUUUCGGGGUGAAUCCUUAGUGGUCUCGGCUCUAAAAAAUCACCUUAUUAAAGUUGUGAGGGAUAAAGCUAUAACACUCAAAGAUGUUCCUCCUACCCCGAGGAAUAAGAGGCUUCAACGUGGUUGGGGGUUCGACCCUGCGGUGUUCUCUCGUCUAACUAGCGCUCCUUAGUUGCUGCUUUGCGCGAGUUGCUCCUAUCUUUCUUGGCUCUCCGUUCUUAGCCGCUUCCUUGGGGGGCUGAGGGUUGGUCAGCCUUGUUGUUCUCUCUUUCCCGCUUGUUUGUUUUGUUGCUGUGCCCUUGUGGCUUUCUUGUUUGCCUAUGUGGCCUCUUACAUUGGCUCCCCUACACUUUGUCUCCUUUUGAGGAAUGAGUGUAGGUUUUUGGUGCCGAUCUUUUGUAUAUUGCCUUAGCUUUAUUUAUAUAUUUAUUACCUUUACCCAAAAAAAAAAAAAGGUUAGUAUUCUCUUCCCAUCAGUCCAAGUGCAAGUACUUUUUAAGGACACGUAGUCUGCAAUUGAAUCAAGUUUGAGAUGCAACUUUCACUUCUUAAGCAUUGGCUUUUCUGGCCAAGAUGUUGUCUCAGUGGCAUCUCGCCUUUCUGGAGUGGAUAAACUAGGAGCUAAAACUUUGGAUUCCUGGGUGGGGUGGGAAAAAGAGUCUCUCAUGGGGGCCUGAUGGGCUGUUGUUUUACAUAGCAAAGAACGAGAGAAGCAUAAGCUGUUUUGGUCUAUUCAUGUCCUAAGUUUACUUUAUGCUUUAAGCUUGUGCUUGUUAUUCUGCUCGUCAGCACCAUGCAGAUCAACACUUUUAGGGUCUGAAGAGUUGUUUCUCACAAUUUUUUAUGUGCAUGUUGCUGUUAGAUUAGUGUUUACAGUUUAUCUAUCACCCGAUGUUUAACUUUAGAAAUUGGUUAUGACUGGCCAGGAUUCUUGUUGAGUCAUGUCCAUGAGCUCAUGACUGUCGUUAUCUCUGCGUACAUUUUCUUGUAUUUACCUUGUUUCAAAACCUAUGUCCGAAUGUUAGUUGACCAUUAACUAGGGCGGAGUUUGAGGUGACUCUCAGCAUUAUCACCGGGAAAUGAGGAUAGAACAUCUUGAUUCACAAAAGAGUGCUUAAAGUUGUCUGAUGUAUCCUGACUUAUAUGUUGAGAAGCUUCCUAUACUGUGUGAUCCAGAAAUGAUUUUACACUCAUUAAAUGCAUAAAUUUACAGGUACUGCAGGAAAAGAGAUUAAUUAAUUGAAUUUGCUGCUGCUGUAAGAUUACCAACAAUGUGGAUGACAGCUAGCUUUAGGAAGCUGUUCAUCUUCUCUAUAGAUGUUGAUGGGUGACAACUGCUAGCUUAGUUUAGACUACGAUGAAGGAUGAUGAACACGUGAAUACUUUAGGAAGCUCUUUAAAAGAACACCUUGGGAAUCGUACGCAUUAAAAGUGGGACAAUGUGGUGGUAGAUGGAAAUUAUUUCAAGAAUAAUGUCAUAGAUGCUAAGACUUGUAUGAUGCUUGGAGAUACAAAUUACAAAGACCGAUAUCAAUAGAAUUAAUUGACGUGUAAGAUUUUAUUGAAUGUUUGAGUAUCGCUUAUUUAUGUAUCAAGUGCUUGUGGUAUCCCUGACAUGUUACAUUUGCAUUAAUAAGUAAUCAGUAUGACCAUUGCCCCCUUGAUAUUCAGAUCAAGACUUAAACAAGUGGGUAGAUUUAGGUAUUAGGUGUAAAAACAUUUUCGAAGACCCCCCAAUGAUCAAAUAAUUAAUUAACUUUGGUGGGAUCUAAGUGGGUUUAGCUUUUCAUGCCGAGCUAAAGAAGGGAAUUGCUUGUCUUGGCCUGCUUAGUUGCAACUGCAGCUCGGCAGAGUGCCAAGCUGCAGACCUCGGCACUCUGCCGUGAGGCCAAACGCCACCUCUAGGUGUUAGAGAUGAUUAGAGUAAAAGCAAAGAUAAUUCACUGAAAGUCCGACGGGUAUCCAUCACGUUUAAGGUAGUCAACCUAUUAUUUCCCGUGUUAAGUCCACAUUAAUCUAGGCAUUUAAUAUUAUUAUUGCUGGGAAUGUCUUGUUAGUAAUUCCUAUAACUAAGAAACGGGAAUUACAUAUUGCGUGUCUGCUACAAAUUGAGGAACUUUAGCUUUUGGAAAUUCCUUGGCCGUGAGUCCGCAUCUUUAUGGCGCUUAUAUUUAAUUUUCUUCAGUUAAUAUAUAGGCAACAUUCAUGAAUCUUUUGUUCAACUGCAUUCAUUGAACACGCAAAUGAGAACACAAGUUCACAGGUGAGAAAAGAACCCCCACACGUCCACAGCCGCGACUUGAAUCAUGGAAAAAUGAAAGCGAGCUGAAUGAACCAAAGGCGAAUGUUACGAUCUUUUUUUAAUGAAACGACUAUCUCAGUGUUUUGAUUCAAAACGUUUCCCUCAAACGAGAACACAAGUUAUAUUUAGACAUUAUCACAAACACAUGGCAGUCAUUUCGGAUACACAGCCUAAAGACAAGUUCAAGCGAGCUUGAUCGAAGCAUUUCGUCGAGCAUGUAGUGAGCGUCAAAUGAGGAGAAUGUAGGCAUACCCGUGACUCAAACUCAGACCGAAAUCCGCGUACAAUGAGCAAACGAAAUCAGUACCGAGCAUGAAAGCCAACAAGUCUCCAGCCAUAAACGAAGGACAUUAACGCCCAUCUAACUUGGGCAUUUCAUCGAACACUUGGCACAUGCUACUGAAAUGGAAGCAAUGCCGGGCUGAUUGAAGCUCGGCUACAUACCAACCAAAACAACACGGAUGGGCAGAUGGGCGUUAAGGCAACUGGAAAAGGCAGGGCAAACAAGUUACUAAAAGAAGCGUCGACCGCUGGUCCCUACCCGGCUGGAAGACGUCGACCAAAAGAAGAGCCCGAAACGAGUUGGGCCAUGGCCAGCCACCUUUGUGUCGUCGAGCUAGGGUCCUCGGGAAAGGCAGACUUCGACCAAGGCAAAGGUCGGAAACCCACCGGAGGCUUCGUGCCGGAGGAAACGGGAGCCGCGAGAUUGAGGGCACCGGCCGAGACUCGUCACUCUUAAACUCUCUCUCUCUCUCUCUCUCAGAUCUCGCUCUCUUGGAUCUCCUCCCCCGUUUCUCUUUGACCUGGCAGGUCGAGGAGACCGGUCGACGGAGAGCUUCGGCCGCCGGUCCAUGGCGCGCCGACCGCCGUCCCUCCCUCUUGGCAGAACCGGCGUCCCCUCCCGUCUUCUCCUUGCAGAACUCUCUACCUUGGCCAGGCCUACCGCGUCGAGCUCCUCAGCCCAUUGAAGUCGCGUCCCAUCCGUCCGGGUUUCUCGGCGGCCUCCGCGCUGCUCCUGUCCUUCGCGCGCGCGCGAGUUGCAGGGGAGGGAGGGAGGGAGGAAGGAAGGAGGAAGGAGGAGAAGAGAGCGGGCCGCGCCGCUGGGGCGGGGGGGGGGGGGCGGGCGUUCGAGCCCCAUUUGUCUGCCGUCGAAGGUUGGUGUCGUCUGGUUNNNNNNNNNNNNNNNNNNNNNNNNNNNNNNNNNNNNNNNNNNNNNNNNNNNNNNNNNNNNNNNNNNNNNNNNNNNNNNNNNNNNNNNNNNNNNNNNNNNNNNNNNNNNNNNNNNNNNNNNNNNNNNNNNNNNNNNNNNNNNNNNNNNNNNNNNNNNNNNNNNNNNNNNNNNNNNNNNNNNNNNNNNNNNNNNNNNNNNNNNNNNNNNNNNNNNNNNNNNNNNNNNNNNNNNNNNNNNNNNNNNNNNNNNNNNNNNNNNNNNNNNNNNNNNNNNNNNNNNNNNNNNNNNNNNNNNNNNNNNNNNNNNNNNNNNNNNNNNNNNNNNNNNNNNNNNNNNNNNNNNNNNNNNNNNNNNNNNNNNNNNNNNNNNNNNUAGCUCAGAAUUUAUUCCCACAUUCAGACAUGAUUUAUAAUUAAUCACUCCAAAUUUUUCGGAUUUUCUCCUUUUUUAAGUAAAUUAAGCUCUCUGUCAUACAAUGAACCAAAUGACCUAAAUGGGUCGGGUAUAGGUCGGGUAUGUGUCGGGUCGGGUAUGGGUUAUUACUCUCAUGUAUGAUAUUAAGGGGUCAUAGAGGGGGGGAGCGGGCUAGGGGCGAAAGCCCAGCCCUCGAGCACCCCUCUUCUCCUCCUCCUUCUUCUUCUUUUAAUUAUUUGUAUGUAUUUUUUAUUUAUCAGAAAUGCAGUAAAAUAAGGAAAAUUAAAAUUAAAAUGCAAACAAUAUUAUUACCCAUGUGAUGUGAGAAUGCCAAAUUACUCUAUAAUUUUUUAUGCAAUUUAUUCCUAAAUAUUUAGCUAAUAUUAAGGUGUCAAUAGGUCCUUCAUUGAUUUUGGAUAAAAAAUAAUUGACAAGAAAUUUAAAGAUACAAGACCAGAGGGAAUAAUUACUUUAGCCAUGUAAAUGUAAGGAACUAUAAAUUGCAGGAAAGUAAAGAUAAAAAUAAAAAUAAAAAACGUUGAGUUUUAUGAUUGAUUGAGGGGGAGUUUACAAUAAUUACAUUUAUGGUAUCUAUAACUAUCUACUGUCAUUUACAUACAAUGAUUAUUGAAUUUGAAUAAAAAAAUUUAUCUAUAGUUAAGGAAAUUAUACUGCAAUCUCCUAGAUUAAGGAACAAUUAUCUAUAAGUUAUAAAAUAACCACCGAGGGAUUAUGUUCUAGCAUCAAUUCAUCAUAUGCCUUUGAGUUCCAACACCUAGUAAAAUCUGCAAUAAGUGUUGAUGAUUUUGUCAACUAGUGAAAGUCUCAUAGACAAUUGAUGUUUGGUGGUGAUGAUUAUAUUAUAGAUUCAUCAAUUGUUUUGACCAAACUAUUUAUCGACUUAGUUUGUUAUUUGUCGAUAAUAAUCAAAACUUAGUCAUUUUCUAAUGUCAACAAAUGCCCAUUUUUUAAAAGAAUUGAAUGAUUAAUUGAUUAUUGAACUUGAGAUGUAUUGCCAUCAAAAAGGGAGGAAAAACAUAACGGACUGUGUGUAAAUGAUACAAUAGAUAGUUAUACAACACUCAAUAAGGAAUAUGUAAGCAUUCACUGGUUUUGCAAGUUUCUUUCGAUAGAAGUGACUUUGAUAUAUAUCUGAUGUCAAAUGUGCUUAUGAUCUUAGACUAGUCUAUCCAAAGCAACAAUUGCAAAACAUAGUCUUGGUUGCAUCGAUUAGACUUGAUGAUAAUGUAUUUUAAAGUGUAUGCUUGUGCAAACAUUAUCAUUAUCAAGAACUUCCAUUUUGGGCAAGAUGAAUUUACUAUCUUUGACUUUGAGAAUGAUUUUCCACCACUGGCAUUCGGCAACAGAUAUUCUAUCUCGGAUGCGCCUUCGUAAAGUAUGAGUACAUGAAAAACGACUUGCCUUCAUAUUUGAAGACUAAAAAGUGGCCAUCACAAAUGAAGUAGUGCUCCACAAAUUUGCUCCAACCCUUUGGUAACCAAACCAUGUCAUCCCAUACUUCCAAUCCCACACUGGCCAAAUCCCACCAUCUGGAAACCUGAGAAGCACCCUUUUUGCUAGAUUCUUCCCAUACUUCCUCAAGAACCUUUUUUGGCAUUCCCUAUAAAUAAUAAACGAAACAACAACACUUACGGAUCUGUUUCGCUGGGGCAACAACAACGUUCAAUGAAAUCCACAAUUGGUGCCAAAAACAAGAGUGCUUUGUGACUGUGUAGGAGGGUGUCACACAGGAUGAUCUUGUUGAAGCAGCUCCUGCAGAAAGGUACUCCUGUGACGUCGAUCUUCUUUCCAGCAAUGGCAAAUCAUCCUUGGACCAAUACUUGGAAGAAGAGAAGUUGGUGAAAGCAAUUAGAUAUAUGGAUGGACUCGAUCUUGGGUGGAGACCAAGCUGUCUUAAAGUGAAGCAUUUGCCUUUUGCUCUCUUUUCUUCAAUCUUGUGCGGUGAUUUGGUGGGAACAGUGCAAUUAAGAACAUGGUUUUGUGGUUAGCUGGGGGGAUAAAAAAAUUAUUGUCAGCCUUUUAGAUUCUGAGAUGGAUCUAAUUACGGUUCUCUAGGCUGAGUAGAUGGUGAUAUUAACCAGCGAGACAACGAACAAUGCCCCAAAACAGGGAUGACUCUUGUGCUUGGUAUGCUAAACAAAAGCUUCUCAGUGUUACGCAACUAGGUUGCACUUUGCGCUGUAGCAGAAAGAAACGGCUGGUAGGGGCAUGCUGGUGUAUCUCUGAGAGCACGAAGGAAGAGGCAUAGGUUUGGGGCACAAGCUACAUGCCUAUGACCUGCAGGACGAUGGAUGUGACACUGUGGAAUCAAAUGUGGAGCCCGUUGACCAUAGAGAGUACAGAAUUGGUGUGCCGGUAUUUCUUUGUUUAGUCAAACUAUACUGAUGUAGAAGAUCCUGCAUAAUUUAGAUUCUGACCAUAGAGAGUACAGAAUUGGUGUGCCAGUAUUUCUUCCUUAAGUCAAACUAUAUUGAUGUAGAAGAUCUUGCAUAAUUUAGAUUCUGAAUGAGUUCGAUUCAUGGUCAUUGUCAAGGAUUAAGGAACUACUAUGUUAAUAUGAAAUUAAAGGUAGUUGAAUUUCAGUGACUAGUUCAGAGAAUGUACUCAUUCGUAGGACUAGAGGAAACUGGUAACUCUAGCAGAGCCUCAAGUUCUCAUCUUUUGUGGAGGUCUAAUCAGCAUAAUGCAUCACUCCAUAAUCAAGUUUUUUGUAGUAUUUGAAGCAUUCACAUUAGUGCUUAACAUAUUGACUUACAGUGCAGAUGCUGCGUGGCCUAGGAGUCAGAACGACGAAGCUAAUGAUGAACAACCCAUUGAAGUAUGUGGGGCUUAAAGGUUGUGGCUUGGCUAUUGCUAGGAGAGUCCCUCUAGUAAUUCCCACAACAAAGGAGAACAAGAGGUACUGGGAGACAAAUGCUACAAGAUGGGGCACAUCUAUGGAGCAGAAGUCAAUGGCCGCUUCAACAAUCUCAUCAGAAAAAAAAACAGCAAACCGAGCAGUGCCAUUUCUUCUGAUCUAGCCAUGUCUGACUCAUAAAAGCCGCUGGAUAGUUCGACUGCUAAUGGUUUAUUUUGGGGGAUACAGACAAGUUCACUGACAGAUGGUGUUAUUACUUUAUCUUCAAAGCCCCAAGGUCAAGAACAUUCGGAUACCUGCUGAUCAUGAGUUCUGGAAAUUUAUGGCCAUGCAAUUCUAUAAUUAUUUUAAUUUUCAUUAUAAAUCUUCUGAGGUCAUUGAUCCAUUUUGUGCAGCGAAAAGGUGAAAGACUAGCCCUCUUAUUGAAACUUCCUUUUGUGCUAUUGAUGGUUUGCAAGAUUUAUCCUCAAUACAACCUUCCUUAGAAUUUGGAGACCACUGCAGAUUUCGUGAAAACAGAGUUGGUGCAGGACAUUUUCCCUUUCUGUGACCACCUCAAUGGCGUCAUAGAUCAACUCUCCACAUGGGCAAUGGAUAAGGAUUGCCCUUGACCUUUUAUUUUAUCAAGCCCAUGCUCCGCAUGAGUUCGAUUUUAUCAAGCCCAUGCUCUGCAUGAGUUUGAUUUAUACUUUGUCGAACAAAGGAUGCAACAUACAGGUGCAAUGUCCACUACUCUCCAAAAAAAAAAAAAAACAGGAAAUAUAUCACCAUUCAAUUACUUGCUGCAGAAAGUUUUGCUUUCUUUGAUCUGAUUUACUAAACAAAACAUAGUGAUGCAGUAAUUUUUCUGUGGGCAUGCUAAAGUCUACACCUUAGUCUUGAAAUUCCUCCUGAAAAUGGAGACUUCGAGUUCCGUAUUAUCAAUCCUAACAGGCUCAAACACACAGACGUCUCCUUCCUUUAGAGAGAGUAUGAUCUUAAAAAAAUGAGUUGUCUCCAGGUGCAGAUUGCCAGCCACCGUUCAUCUUCUCUCCGACAACAAGUCUUCCCCUGAGCACAAUUUGUGCAGUAAGCUGUAACGUCUGAAACAAAACAAUUUUUGUGAAUGAAGCAUUUAAAUAGAGAAGCUAAUCAUUUCUGGGACAAAAAUUUGAAAAAUGAAUGCUGGAGGAAGCUCAAUAUGAAGAACAUAUAGGGAAUCAAAUGGAUGAAAAGAUCGGCAACCUAUUAUUUGAUCAAAAUUGUAUCAAGAAUAACGCCAGAGGUACUGAGGCUAAAAUCUAUAGAAUUGAUCUACAAAGUGAUGUGUAAUAAGCAUGACCAUAGCCAUUAGAUAUUCAGCCCACUAGUUAGAAGGCUUGACCAAUGAGCCGGUCUGAG